UGCAAGAGCUUCGAGUUCAAGCACCACCGGUUUUGCCGUUCUUUGGAGUCACCUUAGAACAACUCCGUGAUCUCGAUGGCAGGAACUUUUAGAUCGCAUUCGGGAGGUUGCAAGUUUCCGAUCGAGUUACUGUCGUGUGUUCACCUUUUCUGGCUUCUGUGUUUGGCAGUAAGAUGUCGAUUACUUAGUUAUAAAACUUGGAAGAUGCAUAGUCUAAAUGUUUUCUUUUUGUAAGAGUAGAAUAAUAGUUAAUUUUCCUCCUUUCGUGUAAGCAAGCAUCUAUCCAAAUUUAAUGUAAAUCACUUGUUUCUUAGUCAAAUUGUUUGAACCUGUUUAAAUUAUCAUCUCACGUAUCACAUUACAAAGUCUUGUAUGGGCAAUUGUUCUGGGAUCCUUCACAGUUUUGAGAGGAGUUCUUCAUGGGGCUAAGUCAAUUAAUAAAUGGAAUUUGUGUGCCCUAAUUAGUAAAGCUAUUAUUUCUCAAUUAACAACUUCUUACUUGAACUCGGCAAAAAUCAAUGAAUCAAUCUCAGGUAUCUCACGAGUAGAUUGUUUAGUUUCUAUCCUUCAGUGCAACCUCUUCAUUAUGAGUACCUCGGAAAGAUUAUUACUUCAUUUUUACUAUCUAAAAGUAGGCAUUAGCUUCACAUGAACAAGGUGCGUCCAUUGACUCUGAGAGGAAACGGGUGACCACAGAUUUCCCUUUUUUUCCACCGUGAAUAAUACGAGAAGAAACCUAUGAACAUCUGUUGGAUUGGCGGCUUUCUAAGGAAAGUAGAAAUGGCAUGUCGUUCACGAGAAAAAAAAAAUUAAAAAUUUUGUAAAAAACGUCAGUUUAUUAUCUUUGGUCUUUCUUUUGCUAUAAACGUUUGAUGCGUGACUAAGCCCAGAAGUCCAAAAUCUCCGAACAGGAAGAGGGUCUAGAAGCUCGGCGCAGGUAAUCUGGGGUAGGGUUCCAUUCAUGUACAACCUCCUUGUUGCCAGGCUCCAUCUAUGAGAUUGUUAAGAGAAGACACGAUUCCUAUCUAUGGGAAAAGUAUAAAAAAAAGUCUAAAUCUAUUGCAUUGUAUUGAUUCAAUCAUAAAUCUUCUAAUUGGGUCAAUUUAAUCAUAAACAUUUUCACAUUAAUAUCAAUUCAAUCCAUCUGGCUAAUCUAGGCUGGAAAUUACUGACAUAAAUAUUGGCAGUCCUACGUGGCAUAACUAAUGCUGACAUUGAUUUUUUUUUACAAGUUUUUUGAAUUUUUUUUCCUUUGUUUUUCUUUCCCUUUUAUUUUUGUCGAUAGCUAGCAAGGACUGGCCUUGCUUGGGUGAGGAUCACUCUUGCUGGCCAUAGGCAAGGGUCAACCUCGCUGAGCCGCGCCUGAGCAAGAGUAGGCCUUGGCGAGGCCUGGCUUUUUAUCAUAUUUAUUUCUUUUUGUUUUCCACAAAAUUCAAAUCAUUAAAAGAGGACUUAACUCCUCCUUUUCUAUUUUACUUCUAUUGUUUGUUCGGGAUUAUAACCAAUGGAAACUUAAAAGCAGUCAAAUGAUACAUCAUCGGAUGAUUGUACAAGGCAGGCAGUAGGUUAUAAGAAAAAAAAAAGCCAAACAAACAAACAAGAAUGAAAAAUGGAAGGAAUGAGAAAUUCAAAUAAAAAAUAAAAGUAAAGGGAUUGGAUCAGGAAUCCAAAUAAAAGAUCCCUGGUUUAAGUGAGGGUCGGUCUCGCCGGAGCUCAAAUCCUCUUUUCCUCUUUUCCUCCAGAAACUCCUUUCCACAAGAUCUAUUUCCUUUUACUUGUUUAACUUAGAAAUAUAAUCCACAAAGGAGUAUCUGGACGCUUUGGCCUUCGGGGGCCAUAGAAACGGCAGGGUUGAUGACAAGUAAAACUUUGAGGUCAAGUAUCUUGAGUGGAAGAAGAUUAGGGCUUAAGGUUGAAUACGAAGAAGGAAGCGAGAUAAAAAGCAAAUCUUGGCAAAAUUUAUACUUUCCAAAAACGGGCCAUAAACAUAAAGAUAUAAUUCAUGAAUCGUGUCGAUUCAGGUAACGUGUCUGGAAGCUAUGAGGCAGCAGACUGCGCACAGAGUACAAAGCUUCAGAGGUACAAUACGCAUUAGUAUUGUCCGUGAAACAAAGGCCCUCAUGUUUUAGAUAUUUUAAAAGAAACCAAAAUUACUUUUAAUUCUUUUAAAAAGGAGACAUACAUUUGCACCAAAUAUAACCAGUUCAUUAAUAUGAAUAGGCAUGCGACUCGAAUACAAGUUAUUAUUAAAUGCAUGAGCCAUCGUCAACGACCAUAAAAAAUGUUAUUGAUAUUAACAUACAUCUAUGACCAUUAAUUAACUGUUGAUAUAAGACAGCAUACAGUUGAUAAUGAUCAACGUCAUAAUGGAGUUGGUUGGCAAAGAUACCAAUCAAAGAGAAUCACCGAUUGAGACUGCGAAUGGGUAAGGGAUAUGUGAGAAGUGCCAAAAAAAAAACAGUUAUGAUAUUCCAAAUUGAAAUCGUUGGUGGAAGAGGCAAAGUUAAAGUUUAGCAGAUCAUGGAAAAAAAGGUUAAGUUAAAGCAAGGGUGAAGGAUCGAGGCGCAAUUUUUAAGGAGAAACUACCUUAACACAAUAUUGUGGUCGUCGUCAGAACAAAGGAUCAAGAUCCAUGAAGAUAUGGACGCAUGACUAAAACUGCAAGGAAACCGCCUUUGAGCGGUUAUGUCACAGGCACUAUAUUACACUAGUGCUCAACUACUAGAGACCACCCCCCUCCGGUGCUUGGUGCACAAAGAAACAAUAUGUUACCUUCCAAUUAUCUUUACAUUUCUACACAAAAAAUUUAGGUUUCAGAUUCGUGUCGUUGAUUAAAUUUCGACAUCAAUUAUAUUUCUACAUGUAUCUUUGCUUUAAAUUGUAGGUACCUCAUCGAUGAUUAAAUUCCAAUGUUGCAUCUUCACAUUUUCAGGCUUUGUUGUCAAUUAAAUUCCAGCAAAAUUUUUGUAAGUAUGGCUAUUUUUGAAGUAAACUUGCUGAUUCUUUUGUCUACCUAUGAUAUCUCUCGUUUAGAAUCAUCACUGAACCUAUCUCAUCUAAUAAAACUGAAGAAUGACUUUUGAUGACAUGUUUUUUUGUCAUUGAAUCCAAUUCAAGUGAAACGGUUAGAAACUCAACUAGAAAUGGAAAAUCGAGGUAUUUGAUUAGACUGGACAACAAUUGUUUUGUAAAGGAACUUGAGCUCGAAUUUGAGUUCAAACUUAAAAAAGCUCGAAUAAUGUGGGUACAUUAUGUAAAUUUCAAGAUAUUUAUAUCUAUUUAUUAAAUUUAUAUUCAAAGAAUAGGAAAGGUCAAUUCCACUCACAAGCCUAUGGAACUAGAAAUUGGCGAGCUCAAACUUGGCGCAACAAGGUAGUUUGAGGAGAUGCAGACCCUUGGAGUGCCAUAACUUGACAGAAAGGGACACUUAAGUGCCACAACUUUCGAAAUGUACACUUAAGUGUUAAAAUCAGAGCAAAGUGGAUCAAUUGAGUGCCAAUCUAGCCAAAAUCCGGCCAAAUUGCAUACGUGGCAUUUUUUCGGUGAAGCGAGUGCAAAACGGCAUCGUUUUGCACACUGACGUGGCCAAAUAAUGCAAAAACAACGUCGUUUUGGGCUAGCGUGGUUAAAAAAUUAUAUUAAAAUUAACUAAAUUNNNNNNNNNNNNNNNNNNNNNNNNNNNNNNNNNNNNNNNNNNNNNNNNNNNNNNNNNNNNNNNNNNNNNNNNNNNNNNNNNNNNNNNNNNNNNNNNNNNNUGCCUUCCUCCUCCAUUUUUUUAAUAAUAAUAAUAAAUAUACAUUAUAUUAUUAUUUUGUUUUAAAUUUAAUUUAAUUAAUUUUUAUACUAUAUUAAAAUUUAAAUUAUGCCAAGAUGACGUCGUUUUGGCUGAUUUAAGGGCUCAAUUUUGGCCAACACUCGAAACGACGUCGUUUGGGGUGAAUUAGAGCUGACUCAACUCUUCGGCAAGCCAUCUCAGUAAUAAAUAUUAAUAUUUAAUUGCCACGUAUGAUUUCUAGUUGGCUUCGCCAGAGGUGGCACUUAGGUGUCCCACUUUUCUUUAAAUGUGGCACUUAAGUGUACUUUUCGAAAGUUAUGAUACUUAAGUGUCUAUUUUGUGCCAAGUUAUGGCACUUGUAGUGUUUUUAUCCCGUAGUUUGAGUAACUCAAUCUCGAGCUUGACCAGAAAUCAAAUGAUUUUUAUCCUCGUGGAGCCCAAAUAACUUGACUCAGUUUCAAUGCCGCGCCCUACGAUAAUGUUGCUUCCAGUACACGCCCGCUUCCUUUUCCACUCGUUCAACACUUAUGUCAGGUGCGUGCAGAUUUUGAGUCUAAAUUUCGCCUCUCAUCUCCUAAUGCAAAGCGCAGACCACGACAAGCACAACAAAAUUAAGCAUCCCAAGAGUCUGACACCCUCUUACCUUCCCAAUCAAUGGCUAGAUCAUCCGGAUCGUGUCUCGAACUAACGUAUUUUUAUAUGUGUCAGCAAGUCAGCUGUAGGGGACAAUUUCAUUGGUUUUAAACUUUUUACUUGUAUUGUAUUCCUCACUUAUAGGGAUAUGUUAACUAGAAUCUGACAUCUUUAGUCACGUAUAACAAUACUAAAAUGAAUAAUAAUAAUGGACAUCCAAUUCACACGUAUGGGAAGUUCCGACUCCCAGUUGACUUUGCUACUUAUAUAGGUCAGGUUCACCGGUGACAAGCUCGUCGGAGAACUCCCUGUACCGAUCGAAAUCAUGACUGAACCUAAUAAUUCAGUUUUAGUACUGAUCUGCAUCCUCUUUGUGUCCACUACUUUAUUUGUUUCCUUUUGCCAUAAAAGGUCCAGGUCACACCGGCUUCCUCCGGGACCCUCCAGAUGGCCGAUAUUCGGCAACCUGUUCAAUCUUGGGAAGAUGCCUCGUCGAACGCUAGCUGGCCUCCGUGAAAAGUAUGGCCCGGUGAUUUGGCUUAGGCUAGGCUCGAUAGACACCAUGGUGACUCUCUCAAGCAGGGUUGCAGCCGAGUUCUUCAAGAACCAUGACCUCAAUUUUGUGGAGCGAACCAUCACCGAUCUCAUGCAAUCUCAGGAGUACUACAAAGGAUCCAUUGCCCUAGCCCCAUACGGCACAUAUUGGCGGGUGUCAAGGAGGCUGCUGACAGCGGGCAUUCUAGUUGCCAGGCGGCUCAAUGAAACAGCUCCAAUCCAGAGAAAGUGUGUCGAUGACAUGUUGACAUGGAUCGGGGAGGCGGCAUCCACAGAUAAGGUCCGACUCGGAGAAGGUGUUCACCUGGCACGCUUCGUGUUCCUCAUGGCAUUCAAUUUGCUGGGGAAUCUCAUGCUGUCCCGAGACUUGCUUGAUCCGGACUCAAAGGUUGGAUCUGAGUUCUUCGAGGCAAUGAGCGGAUUGAUGGAGUGGUCAGGCCAUGUGACCAUUGCGGACCUAUUCCCGUGGCUGCGGUGGUUGGGCCCGCAAGGGCUGAGGAGAAAGAUGGAUCGGGAUAUGGGGAAGGCCAUGAGGAUCGCUUCCGAUUUCGUGAGGGAGAGGAUUGAGGAGAAGAAAAUUGGGGGAAACGACGAUCGGAGGGAUUUUCUUGAUGUGUUGCCUGAGUUCGAAGGAAACGGUAAGGACGAGCCGGCCAAGCUUUCUGAGACAAAUCAAAACAUUCAUACUGGUACGACCACAAACUUUGAAUUGCUAGUUCUGUAAGGAUUCCUGUGUCCAAUCAUAUGCGUAGGGGAUAGAUCGCAGGUGAAUAUCACUUGAUUAUUCAAUUAUCUCCUUAAUGUAUAACACAUAAUCAUACUCGAUUCUGAGUCAUUUUUCUAUUUAUAACUUUACUUUGAAACAAGAUCGGCAUCCUUCCAUUAAUAUAACCUUUUAGAAUUAUGGUUAGGGUUCUUAGCAUUGUGAAAUAUGUGUCGAGAAUUCAACAGAACCAUUGUGAGAAACAUGCAAGUUUCUGAGUAUGUCAACAAGGACAACAUUAGACAUGUAAAAAUAUGUUUGUGAUUGUUUGUAAAGUAUUGUGGUAAAUUAGUAGCCUACUUGGUAUAACUACCCACAGUUGCUACGUAUUUAAAAAAUGGUAUGGCUAUGGUUCCAUUGCCUUGGCCUAGAAAAAUUUACGGAUAUGGCUCCAUUUCGUGAAAUUUUGCCAUGCUUGCUCUCACAUACUCUCCUCUUGACAUCACAGGAAAUGUUCUUGGCUGGUGCAGAAACAUCGAGCAGCACUGUCGAAUGGGCGCUGACAGAACUCCUACGGGACCCGAACUCCAUGGCCAAGGUCCAAGCAGAGCUGUCACGGGUUGUCGGGUCCAACUGAAAGGUCCAGGAAACCGAUAUAGACCAGCUCUCCUACCUGCAAGCGGUUGUGAAGGACACCCUCAGGCUCCACCCGCCACUCCCAUUCCUCGUGCCCCGGAAGGUCAUGGCCAACACCAUUUUCAUGGGCUAUGACAUACCCAAAAACACACAGGUCUUUGUGAACAGUUGGGCGAUCGGUAGAGACCCAGAUGUCUGGGAAGACCCUAUGGCAUUUAAGCCUGAGAGGUUCAUUGGAUCGAAGUUGGAUUAUAAGGGUCAACACUACGAGUUCAUUCCGUUUGGAGCAGGUCGAAGGAUGUGUGCCGGCAUGCCCUUGGCACAUCGCGUGCUUCAUCUGGCUUUGAGCUCGCUGCUUCAUGAGUUCAAUUGGGAGUUCGAUAGCCGCAUUGAUGCAAAGACGAUUGACAUGAGAGACAGGGUGGGGAUGACCAUGAGAAAGUAUGUCCCCUUGCUGGUGGUGCCCAAAAGAAGAGCAAUGUGAGACUGCGUUCAGCUCGGAAUUUGUGCUUGUUUGACAUAUUGGUCUGAGCCUUUCUUUGCUUGCUCAAAUGCGUAUCCUCCAUGGUUUUUACUUUCUAGUUAUUUCCUAGGCUAGAAAAUGAGUAAAUGACAAGAUGAAAUAUGAUGUAUCUAAAACCAGUGAUUGGUCAUGUAAGGUUGCUCUUUUGUUUUGACAUUUUCAUUGGGUAAGAUGUUAAUCUUUCGUGAAUAGAAUCAAAUUUCAGAUCAGGAUAAUACGUAGUUGCACAAAUAAGCUCCGUUUCAUCAGUUCAGAGAACUUUCACAACCUAUUAUAGUCCCGAGUUCAGUAGACUAGAAGCUAAAGACGGCAGAAAUCAACAUAGAAGAAAUGGACCCAGUCAAUUAUUUGCGUAAAAAUUGUCAGCUUAGCUGGCACCUCUCUAAGUGCCAAAUUUACCAGACUGCAAGAUGAAGGAAAUGGCGCAUUUCAGUAUUAUGACUCAUGUUAUCUACCGUCACUCAGAAUAGAAAUAGGUUUUAUAUAUUGAAAAGUCAACAUUUGACCCGAAAGUAAAGACUAAUGUCUUGCAAGUCUAAGUGCCGCACUUAGUCUCCGGAAAAAACCUCUCAGCUCUCGCUUUCACUCUGCCAAUCCUGCAUAUAUGGUUUAGACCCACCAGAAGUUCGACAAUCGCUUCCUCAGUUUUCGGUUGGUCUGCGACGUACAACGUCUGUACCAGAAGCACAUUUGCCCCAGAAUUGCGAUUUUGCUUCUCGAAGCUCCGCUCAGAUUGCCAUUUUAUCGUGUUGUGAGCAAGCGGAGCUAGCCAUUCCAGCAUUUGCGCCACUGUCAUCCCCCAUUUCUCCACGAUCGCACCAUCAUGCACCAUCAACGCCAAACUCAUGGAAUGCAACCUUAGCCUGGCCCUCAGAGCAGUUCGAAUGGAAGCAGGCAACAUAUGAUAGAGGUCCUCUCUCAUGUCGAGGGUGAUUGAGUGAGGCGAAGAUGCUAGCUCCUCGAUUAGAACAAUCACAUUAGCAUAGUGCACAGCUAAGGCAGCAUGGCCAAGAGUAUGAGGAGGGGUGAUUAAGCACCCGCACUUUGCAUAGAAAGAUGCGAGCUUAGAGUAAAUUCUGUUGCUCACGAGCAACCUCUUCAUAUCUUUGUAGUCCAUUGUUCUGACAUCAUCUCCAAACACACUUGUUGCUCUCAUCGAUUCAACCAUCUCUGUUCUGCAGUAACUGUCGAUAAGGGGAGAAUCGGUUUCCACAUUAAUGCACCCCUUGAAAGGCCCAAUGUAAUGUGACUGUUUCAUCGGUUUGUGCCUUUCCCUCAGUGAAGAGGACUGCCGAUGAUGAAUUCGGUGCGCCUUUUUGUUUGGUAUAUCCUUGUCAGGACGCAGUGACAAAUAGAACGGAUCGAGGCUGUAAGCAGAUGGAUGGACCGAAGAUUGCAUUAGAGCAGACAGGGAGUGGCCCUUGGAAAAACAUGUGGGAUGGAUUUCCUCUAAUUCAAACUUAUCUUGGUCACCCCCAAAAGCAUGCAUCAUUUUCUCAAGAAUCGUGAAAAGCGAUCUGGCGAGGAGUCGAACGGUAUAGUCAUAAGUUCUGUUCCAAGGAGACAACUCACGGAGAUUACGCACCACCUGAAUCUGCCACAUCGCCUUCUGCUGAAACUCAAACAGUUUGACGUGGUGCGACAUGGGAUUGGCCUUCAUCCUCCUAACUGUCUGUUGAAGCUCCGCCAGCGCCUCCUGCUCUUGGGUCAACUGCAGCGUGACGGCAAUAAACCUUUCCAUUUUCUUCACUCUUCUGUCCAUCUUCUUCCAUUUGUACUCCCAACCAAACCAUUUGAUGUAGUUGUUCAUUGGGUCAUCGAAGAAGCUUCUAAUUUGGUGGUACACAGGAUCGGCACACCUCCUCGCAAGCCUGACCACCGCCCUGGCCACGUACACGAAAUUGUCGAUGAUCUCGUCCAGCACGAGACUCAUGAUGUACCUAUCAUCUUCACUCACAAGCUUCCUGAUGCCCACGGAUCUCGCCAUCUCUUCUCUCAACCGCAGAAUCUCGACAUCGCUCAAGCAAUGCCAUAACUUAACCACUUUGGACAUUAGGCUCACGACCUCGAAAGACAAAAUCCCAAUCGUGGCUUUCUCAUGCUCUUGCGCCUUGUACCGCGAGCCCCGCCAGAAAUUGCCCAACCAUGAUUCGGUCACCCUUUCACCUCCCAUUGAAAUGCUCCCAGUGGGAUCAAGCAGAGAUAAGUACCUGGUAAGCACCUAGUAAUUUCGACAAGCUUCUUGGUUCCUGUACCCGUAUGAAAACCCAACCAAAUCAGGUGACAGAAGAAAAAUGCUAAAACGCAACUCCAUCAAAGCCACAAUCGAUUUAGACAUUGAACCAAAUGUCUACGCAAAAGAGACAUUAAGUUAAACCAACCACAUUCACGAUGCCAACUUUCCCAGGGAAACUUCUUUUUCUUUUUUCUUUUUUCUUUUUUCUUGAAAUAGCAACAGCAGAAGAGUCGCACAAUCAAGAAUCACAAACGAAACUCUACUGAACCGAUCCUUUCGUCUAAACCGGAUGUGGCAAUACGCUUGUUUUUCCAAGACAUUUCUCUGCUUACAUAUAUUCACAUCCAAGACAACGACGUUAAUCCAGGAACCAAGCCAGCACCAUAGUCAAACAAUAUGCAGGAGAGCGCGUGAAGAAGACAACUCACUGCCNNNNNNNNNNNNNNNNNNNNNNNNNNNNNNNNNNNNNNNNNNNNNNNNNNNNNNNNNNNNNNNNNNNNNNNNNNNNNNNNNNNNNNNNNNNNNNNNNNNNNNNNNNNNNNNNNNNNNNNNNNNNNNNNNNNNNNNNNNNNNNNNNNNNNNNNNNNNNNNNNNNNNNNNNNNNNNNNNNNNNNNNNNNNNNNNNNNNNNNNNNNNNNNNNNNNNNNNNNNNNNNNNNNNNNNNNNNNNNNNNNNNNNNNNNNNNNNNNNNNNNNNNNNNNNNNNNNNNNNNNNNNNNNNNNNNNNNNNNNNNNNNNNNNNNNNNNNNNNNNNGUCGCGCAUUGUGAGGUGAUGCCGGCCGUGAAAUAAGAGGAUGGCAUUGCCAAAUAAAAAAGAAGAAGAGGGAAUGGGGAUAAAAGAGGAGUGAGGACGAAAGUCAUUCAAACCGAGGAAGGAUCCAAGGGAUCAUUUGGGGUUUAUGCUAUGCGAUUUCUCAUUUGGAUCUCCCGGUGUUAACAACACACGAGAGAACAAAUCCAAGUACAAUCAUAAUGAAUGUUCCUGUCGUGCUUCUGUCGUUUCCGCGGCGCUUACGAUGCCGUCGCCCUCCUCCCCACAGUUCGCACGACCACGCCAUUAACCGUGGGCCGGAACCAUCGCUCAUGGCUCCUCUUAAACUAGACUUUAAUUUUAUUUUUAGUUUUAUUUUUUGGCUCUAUUACGGAAAGUUGGAACUACUAACUCAGCGUUGCCCGCCCGCGUGAUAAAUCUUCCGCAAAAGAAAUUUACACUCUGGUUUGUAGCCAUGUGCUCUAAUCUUCUGGGCUACAAAAUCAGCCUCAGCUGGUUGUUACUCACAUUGCAAUUUGCUUCACUUGGUAUUACGAUCUGUUAUUUGCACCUUACAUUUUGUUAGGUGAUCCACAAUGGUACGGUGUCGGUGUCGAAAACCUCCAUCAAUAGGGCUCUAAUUUUAUCCGAUCAGAAUGCAGAUAUGUCCCUCGAAUAGGUUUUGUAGAAGUGGUGUUUUUCCCUGUCUGAGUUUCCUUAAACAAGUUUUUUAUUGAUGAGUUACAAGUGUGGAUGCAGUUUACAUGAAAAAUUAAGUCUAGAUAAAGUAUGUUAAUUGAAUGGUCUUUUUGGAAUCUUUUUCUCUCUCAACCAAAUGUUGAAUUCAUCGACAUCGAUUCACUUGUUAAGACAAGCAAAGCUCAUCUUUAGUGUAACAUGGGUCUGCCACCGUAUACAUAGUGUUUACUUUGGACAUUAAGUUCUCACGAUUUUGUUAUUCUCGAGACAUCGCAUAUUAUUUCAAGAAAACGUGUAUGUAUAGUUAAAGAACCUAAAACUUUAUAAGUCAGUUUAGGACUCUCUCCUAAGUGAUGUGAGAUAGGGGACAUGUGCUUAGCCUCAUCCGUGUAUGGUGUACCAUCGAGAUGCCAUCCCUCUAUAUUGCCUGGGUAUGGGUCAUCACAUUUAGAAGUCUCCAACUCCAUUUUACAGUUGGCCUCUGCCUGGCCGGCUCUCCUCCAACGAAGCUGCUCUCCUCUCAUGCUCAUAAAUAUGCAAUUAUAAUAGGAGUAAGAUUUAUUUUGUAUUUUUUUUUUAAUUUCUCAAUGUUUUUAUGUUUCCGACUAUGUAACUGCUGAUAUAAAGCACAUAUCUUUUCGUGUAUUAUUCUAGAUGUUAUGUGGUAUUGCCAUAACUAUGGAAUCUAUAGAAAUGGCAUUUCCAGAUUGACGGUGGUUCCAAGAGCCUAAAAGGUAGGUAGGUUUCUAGUUCUAGUUCUUUGGAACCGUUGCCCGUGAAAAAGAUUUCAAGGUUGGACAAAUGUAGCAUCGAGUGAUCGUCAAUUGUGGGAACGUCUAUGGAUUGUUCUUAUCUAAGGAAAUCGAUGACAUUCAUUAUAAAAUUUAAAUAUUAAACAAUGUUUUGAUCUAGCAUAUCAUACUUCUCGUAGUUAUUAGUGGAUUUUAGAUGAUAUCAAAUGGAGUUCUUAAUUAAAAAAUCACCAAAAGUCUCUUAUUAAAAAAAAAUUGUCCACUCAAUCAUAAACAUAUAUACCGACACCAAUUCAAUCAUAAACUUUUAAUUUUGCAUUUAGCCUAAAACUUUAUGCGAAAUGCCAAGUAUACCUUCUUGUCAAUUUUUGCCCUAAGGAGUAUGCCACGUAGGACAAGCGGCGAUGACGAGACCACCACGUUAACGUCGGAAUGAUUAUAUUGAAAUUCUCUGUGCAAAGAUUUUAAACUGAAUUAGCAAAAUUGAAAAGUUUAGAACUAAAUUGACAUAUGUACAGUAAGUUUAGGACUGAUUGUGUAAUUUUCUUGUCCCUUAUUUAUCUCCACUAGUCUCAGUAUCCACGGUUUAUAGGGCCAAAUCGCAGCCACCGCGAGAGGUUGUUGCUACAUUUAAAGUCAGGCCAAUUUACUAAAAGACCAUAGUUAUUUUUGAAAAGUAUUUCAAUCCCCACAGAAACUCAAAGAAGAAUAUACAUAUGUAUUGAAACAAAAAUAUACACCCACUCAGACAUUGAGGUAAUUGGUAAUAUACAGACAAACCUAAACAAUUAUAAGAGACUUAAAAUCACGUAGUUAAAACUUAAAGGCCACAAUUAAGAUCCUAUACCGCACCUAAUUGACUCCAAAUUAUUGAAUUACAAGAGACAUUCACAAACAUGCCGACAGGGAAGGACAAAGCAACACGAAUUUUCUCCGCAUAAAUCAUGUAAUCCCCCGAAAUAACGCCAAACUAAGCGUACAUCGAAGCGCCUUAGCUUUGGAUGUGCGGCAGGACAAGACGAUUAGAAACGUGAUUCUUGAGAUGACUCUUUGCAACUUCUAAAUCGACAUGCAUAUGUAUUGGACCCUUGGUUUUGAGUAGCUCGCAUAGUUCUUUUCGAUGAGCACGCGUUGAUAUCAACUUAUGUGGCGUCACAUCAAGGACUCUUGAUGUUUGCUAUGAGAUUUUGUUCUUCUCUUGUUGCUCAAUGAUGAGAGGAAUAUGCGGUAACUUCGCACUUGUUAAUUUGGAAACCAUAGGGAGCAACGGUGACCCCGACAAGGAAAAGCUUGGGCGGAUCUUGAGCUGCUUAUUUUUGUUGGGCGACCUUUGUUUUGCCCUCCGGCUUUUCUCGAAUCCGAAAGGUCAAAGUUCGAUACGAAAUAGAGCGUUGUUCCAUUUUCGACACGAUCGUGUCAUCACGAGGAGGAGAAGUACGAUGGAGUUGCGACAUCGGGGCCAGUGGGAUUGGGAUUUCUUGUUCACGACAGCCCAAUAGGAAUGCUUGUGGCCAAACUGGAAACAACGAAACGGAAGACCGUUCAUGGUGAGGAGCAAAACAAAAACGAGUCUUCCCAAUUUGAAUCAUGUGAAGAGUUAUUCUAUACGUUCAAAUUUUAUAAAGAUUUUAAACGUUUUUGCGUCUCAUAUUUUAUAUAUUUCAAUAACAAUAAAAGCGAAAAAUAAAAAGCCAAAAGUCAAAAACCGGCUGUCCCAACGUUACCCUAAUUUUUCUUAUCAUUAAUAGGCACAACCACGUGAGGUACACACAGCACACACUUGACAAAUGCAUAAGACACGCAAACAUUUGGUUACUAUUCUAUUCUGUCAGUAACUAACAAAUUAAUUAGUUUUAUUUGACUAAUUGAUUUGUUAUGUGUUAGACUAAUUUAUUAGAACUCAGUUUUAAUUAGUUUUUUUUAUUAUACGACAGGUUUGAGCCCAACCUAAACUGGACGGAAAUAGACUUUUUUCCGGUAAAGCCUAUAAUGAUGGUGGACCUCUUAGGUUGAUUGACUACGAGGCCCACGGGUAAUGGGUAGGUCACCAAAGUUAGAUGGAUCUCAACUUAUCACGAGCUUAACAAGCAAGUAUACUGUUUGAAAUAUUUUCAUUAGAUCAAAUUGCACAUAAUUAUUUUACGGGAGUUUUUUCUUUAUGUUCUUGUGUUUAUGAAAUAUUUUCCAAAUUAGUAACAAAUAUCCAGUAUAAAGUGUUUGUGAAGCACCCCAAUCUAAUUAAUAUUGAGCAGUUUGAAAAAAACAUAAUAUCUUUGCAAGGUUGCUUGACUAAUUUUAUGUGCAACUUAAUUUCAUUGUAAUUAGAAAAUCACACUCAAUUUUCCUGCACAUCUUGCAGUAUGGUGUUUGGGAAUGCUACAUAAACAAAACAACUGAGAUCGAUUAACAUUUCAGAUACCAAUAUUACCAACUUGAUUAAUUAAACUGACCAAAUUGGAUCUACGUAAGCAGCACAAUGACUAAACUGAACAAAAGAAGCAAAAUUUAAUAAUCAAAUUUAACAUCGCAUGCGUAUAGCAAAAGACCAUGUUACCCCUAAAAGUAAAAUGAGUUUGUCAAGGAAUAUUUAUCCAAGAAAUGGGUUUCGAUGACAAGGUUUACUGGUUAUAAUCAAAACAAAAGAAAAAUGCAUAUUCGAUGUCUUUAAUCAGGAGCCUAGCAUAAACUUUCUUUAUUUUUAUUUUUAUUUUUAUUUUUAGGUUCCAACUGAAGUCCUAGACAUUUCCAGCACCAUCUUCGUCACUCUCCGGCACCUUCUAGUAUCCCAAGUUCUCGAUUUUUCCUACAUAUAUAAAUAUGCUUAGACCAUCAAAGAGUCUUCGCCGACACAUCGACUAUUUCUAUCCGAAAAACACCACCCUUCUCGAGUUUGGUUCCUUCUUCCGAUCUGCGACAAGAUGAUGAAGCGUGUCGACCGCAGGAAAGAUACCACGACGCUCCCCGUCGUGACCCGCGAUGAGGAAGGCAAGAAGAGGGUGGCGAAGAUAGAGGUGGAGGCUCACAAAGUGGACACCGUCAAAUACUUAGAGAGGAAGCUGAUGGACAAGGGCGUGCAGCGGAUGGAGCGCCACCCUGCCGAUGGCCUUGGCGGCAUCGGCCGCCCACCGCCCAAGUCCGGUCGCGGCGGUAAGUACACGUGGGAGGGACCGGAGGAUCCAGCAGAGAGCGAGCUGGCCCCGACGCCACCGGCAAUAGACGAGAAGGAUCCGAACUACGUGGAUGAGGAAGCGGAGGAGAAGGUGAUCAGAGGGGAGGACGGGGAGGUGGCCGGGCUGGUGGUGGGGGAGGUGGAGGUGCCCAAGGCUCACGAGGUCGGGGUCGCGAGGAUCGAAGUUGAUCCUAACUUGAAGGUGUUUCAACAGGAGGAUUGAGUAGUUUGAUGAGAAUGUACAUUUUUUAGGAUUUACGUCGACGUCCUCGACUAAUCCCAUCUUAUCUUCUUCAGUUAUGUCUUUGGAUUCCGCGUAUAUGUAACGUCUUUCGUUUUAUAGUGUCUUCAACUCGAGACAGGGAUUUUGGAUUUGCUUUUGCAGCAUGCCAGAACAGACCCAAAUUGAUUUUCUUGGACAAACCGAAAGAAGUAUCUUUUGAGACCAAAAUUUGUUUUGCAUAGGUCAGUGAUUGCAGCUUUUGUUCUGUCACUUUUGAUUAUGAACAACUUCAAGACAUAUUCCUGUAAAGCAGCGCCAUCUCUUGACCUAAACCAUCACUUCUAUAAAAUCACUAAUAUAGUGUACCAAGAGAUAAUCCGAGCGCUAACAGCAAUAGGCCACUUGUCAUCAGUGAUUGAACCGUCUGAUAUUUUAAAAUUAAAAAUUACAUAUAUGGUCCGCAAGAAGAACGGAAAAGGGAGGAAAUGGCCCAAGUGAAGGUGGACCACUUGCAAGUGGCCUCACAACAAAAUCGCCUUCACUCCACUUUGGAUUUUGGGCAUUAACUUUAGACUCUCCCAAACUCAUCUCUAUUCCUCCUGCAACGGAGCUUUGAUGAAAUCACUCGACGAAAAGCUUUAGAAACAAACUCAUUUUCUGGACUCUAUCGAUGUCCCGAGUUGUCCUCAGAUGUCACUUUUCUAACCCGCACCGAAGCCUUCGAGAGCAGCUGGUAAGGGCUCUUCGAUCUUUCGUUCGUGCGCCACCGCGCUCGCGUGCCGCCCGAGUCUCUCUAUCAACGUCCGUAGGUUGAGUAAGUUUUUCCUUCAUGACUCCGAUCGCAUUUCCCCUGGGAUGAAGAUGUUGCGCUUCGCCGCCUUCGCCCAAUUAAAUCACAUCGUGAUGGUUUUGAUUUGCACUUCAUCAUUCUCAUUAUACAGAGUGGAAAUCAAAUUUACACGGCCGCUCUAUCGAAAUCACACCUUGCAACCUCAAAGUCCUUAGCCAUCUCCGCCAUGCGAGCCUCUUCCUCUUCAUAUUCACUUGCCUUCACUUUGAUCAGUUCCACUUUCUUCUGCUCAUGUUUCUCUGCUUCGCUCCCCCUUCCUUGCGUCUCUAUGUCAAAUUUUAUAAUUUUAUGAUGAUAUUAAGGUUCCAUUCAUUUCACGAAAGAUAAAUUCGAGAAAAAUAUUUUUUGAAUUUUUCGACGUUCGUUUCAUGAAAAAAAAAAAUUAGUUUCAGAAAACAUUCUCUAUUAAGAAAAAUUAGUCUUUUAGGAUAAGAGAAAAUAUUCUCCACUUAUGAGAAAAAGGAAAAUAUUUUUCAUUUUUUCUUUCACCUCAUUUUCCUUCAUCAAAUACCUUUUCAUUUUAUUUUUUAUUUUCUUAAAUUGAGUUUUAAUUAUUUUUAUUCUUUUUCUUUUUGUUUCCGUUUCUUUCUUUUUCUUUUUCUUCUUCAUUGAUUAGUCCGGCCAUAGUGACGGUUGGCAACCAACCACGAGUGAACUGGAACAUCGCCACAUGGUGGCGAGGUUGAACUUGCCCGAUGCCAACAAGCUCGAGGCCCACUAGAUCUAGCCACCUAGGCAAGGCUUCGCCGACGUUUGGGGACCUUGAGUUAGGCAUGGGUCCCGUGCAGCUCGCUAAAUUUGGUGAGGCCCUAGCUCUCCCAACCGGCCUCAAGCAAGCUCGGGUCUCACCAAAUCCAGUCACAAUCUAGGUCGACAUCAAGUUGACCUCAAUCUGGACCCUCAAUUUGCUACAAACAAGUUCUAUGUAAAGCUUGAGCUCGGCACCACUCCAAGCUCACAUGGCCUAGCUCAAAAUAGGGUUCACGGCCAUGCGAGCUCCAUUCUAGCUUGAGUUUGAGGUCGUAUAGCCAAGUUCUAUAUAGAGCUGGCACUGGAGCUUGAUGUGGGUGGGAGGUGGCGAGUGCGUUUGAGUGAUAAUGAUGUGAUGUAUGAGAUUACGAUAACUCCCAAGACCUAAAGGAGACCCCACCUGUCGAGCAAAAACUGAGAUUGACGAAAUUCACCACAGGGCUUAAAAGGACAAGCUAGAUGUCUCUUCUAGAUAGGAAAAACUUAUUAACAGUGCUUAGAAAAAUCACCAAUCAAGAAUAGAGCUUCUUAGCUCAUGAAGGAGCAAGCAUCAAUCUAGGGUCAACUCUAGACUGGCCUUAGAUCGGUCUAACUCUGCCAAUCCUAAUUUGGUUCUUAGGGAAUUGGGUCAGUACUUGAUCUCGAAACCUCAAAACCCUACAUUAUACGAGUUGAUCCUUGGUUUUGAGAGUUUAGAGUUUGUUUAACCGAACCAACCCUGGAGAUAUUAUAUAUUAGAUAUAAUAUAUAUUUAAUAUGUUAUAUAUAAUAUUCUUUUAUCUAUUCUAAAAUUUAUAAUCCUAACUUAAUAUAACUCCUCUAGCAUUCUAUUUUGUCCUCUUUUUUCUUUUCUAUUUUCUUCUCCAUUUUUUAUCUUUGUCAAGUAAAUUAGAAAGAACAAAACCCUAAUUAGAAAUUUAUAAAUCCUCUUCAUGAGCAACACUCGACGCUCGCCACAUUCCCCGCUCGCUGCUUGCCACUCAUCCCUUGUUGCACCACUUGCCCCUCACCUCGUGUGGGACCAGUCCAACCCAAAUCAUGCCCGCCCCUAAUUAACAAGAUGUGAAUUUAUAUAUUUAUGGUUUAUAUUAAGUAAUUUGAACUUCUUAUGGUUUCAUUAUACUUCAUUGAUAAGUUUCACCUACAUUGUAGUCCAGAAUUAUCUUCUCUUAAACUUCCCAUCUCAUCCCAUUUCUCAAACAAAAUAGUGACUCGAAGACAAAUCAAAAGUAAGGGAGUUAUGACACGCACCGGCGAUGGAAACACUUUGUCUCCAUAAGCAAGCUUGAUUUUUUUUUUUUUUUUAUAUCUUAAAUUGAUGUUGGAUAUAUAUUGAUGUUUACAAUUUGAUUGAUCAAAUCAACGCCGCAUUAUUGAUAGAUUUGUAAUUUCAAAUGGCAGAUUUGUCUUUUUAGAUAAUAGAAAAAAUGAAAAAAAAAAUUAUUGGUUGAUUUCAAGUUAAUCCUGAAACUGGAGCAGACACAUAAAAUCUGUCCGGUCCUCGAUCCUAAACUUAACAAGAUCAAUUAAGAUCAAUUCUCGAUCCUAAAAAUUGAAGAUCAAUACUGUGCAAUCCUAAAAAUUGAAGAUCAAUACUGUGCAAGUUAAUCCUGAGUUAAAUGUUGGACUAACCCAAUCCAACCGAAUCAUGCUUAGUCCAACCGAAUCAUGCUCACCCUUAUUCAUAACCGAAGAAGAAUCCACCAACCAAGGUUAAGAUCACCAGUUAAGGAUAAAGCUUCUUAGGAAGAAUCCACCGACCAAGGUUAAAAGAUUGAUAUUGCCCUUUGUUCUUUUUGGACGGAAUGUGAAUUUGCCGUUGGUCAGUACCGUUCUUCACGAAAUCAAUUCUGUGACAGUUCCCUUAUCUUUCAGAUGAAAAUGCUGCAAGUUCUGCACGAAUCGCCUUAUUCAUAACAUCAAAAGCCUUUUCAGCUCUUGAAAUUGUGCAGAACUGGAAGAGGAUUUGCCAGUGGCCAAUGCAAUCUGUUCCGACUCCCGCAUUUACAAUUCAAUUCAAUAAUUUCUCUCCACCCACAAAUCACUGAUUGUCGCUCAAUCCAACAUUCAGUCGCCUAAGCCACACGGAAUGAAGUAUCAUGUGAAACACAUCAUAUCUCUUGGGCGGAGAGUGAACCUCGAAAUGCCGUCGGACCUGCGCGACCCUCCUCUGCAUCCUUAUGUACUGCCUUGACGAGAUGCUAGCGAGUAUCGUCUUCAGAUUCGGGAUCUCCCUCACAGUAACCUCGACCGAGAACGACCUCCAGUUCAAGACGUCGCUGAACGGGGGCACGUAGUGGUCUGAGAUCAGCACCGGCACACAUCCCGUGUAGAUAGCCUCCACCACUCUCGGGCUCGCAACCUCGUAGCCACUCGGGCAAAUGCAGAACUUGCUCCUUCUCAUCAUGUCGUAGUAAGACACGCCUCGAGGGAGGUACCGAUGGACCUUCACGUCCUCGUCCUUGUUUUCCCAGUGCUGAAGGAGAAUAGGCCUGAUGGGCCCGUGAAGCCCGCCGGCAAAGAAUGCCAAUAUUGAGCGGUGCGACGGCGAUGGCCCCCCAAUUAGGCCACUUAUCGCGCCGGUGUGGAGAUUUACUUCUGGAAACGAGACAUCCUUGGACGGGUCGAAGCCUUCGGAGGUAUUUGCAUUACACAAGACUCUGAUCGAGUUCCUUUGAAGAUGUGGAACAGCAAAGGAAGCCUCUGGCCCCUGCAAAAGAAUCUCAGCUUUCAAGGUACUCAAGUGUUACUCAUGUUGUCCUCAAAGUCUCAUGCAUUUUUUUGUUCUUGCAUGCGUCGAGUGAGCAAUCUAGACGAUAAAUCAAAGACCUACCCAGUCAUGACAGGCCAGCAUAAAAUGAUCAGCGCCCAAGCUGCGAUUCCAAUAUGGGUACUUGCUCGCCACAACAUCGAUGUAGUCAAUCACGGUUCGCUUUAUGGGGCCGAAAUCAUGCGAAUCCCGUACAUACACGAACUGGACCAUCAUCGCCACACUGAAAGGGAGGAAGAAGACGUGUGCUUUGCGGGGAUCUCCGGUGCGGAAUCGCUUGUUUAUUUCGACCAUGUGGAUGAAAUUACCUUCCUUAGCAUAUAUGCUCUUGCAAGGACCGUUGUGGAAUACAGGGGGAUCACCCUCCUUGUAAACAAAUAUCUUAAACUGCUUUUCCAUUUCUAGGUAACUCCUGCAGUUGGAAUUCGAGUCUUUUAUCAGAUGUGAAAUGUCAAAGGGUCCAUCAAUGUGUUCCAUACAGAAUCAAACAAAAUUUUUAUGUUACCUGUUUUUCUUGUUUUUUGUAAAUUCUAUGAAAUAUUAGAAGCAAGAUAUAUGUCCUUCCACUGACGUGAUAUUAACUAAAAUUAAGAGGCAAACAUUCCACCCGAGGGUAUUGUAGUCAAAAAAGCCUAUUCCAGAUCAGUUGUUAAUGCUCUUAAUUUCUCCAUCAAGACCCACUGAUCUUCCAUAGCUUCUUAUCUAAAGAUGCAAUAAAUUGCGUCCCAGUGGUUGGUGAUCACUGAUGUUUAAUGACUUGUGCAAAUCUACGGAGACAUCCCAUUAAUUGGGUCAAUGUUGGAUGAUCUGAUAGUGUCGCUCUUCAGUUAACGUACAACCACUUUUUUGUCCGCAUCAACAUGACGGUGUUACAGCCUCGUUCUCCAAUUUAUCUUAAUUUCUAUCCCUCACUUUGUAAUUUAAUCCAAGUACAUGUCAAUAGGUAAAGGUUGGGAACAACGCCAAAGAAAAAAGCGAAAGCCUUGUACGUACUUAGAUCCCAACUAAAUGAAUCCUAAUUGUAAGUUUGACUGAUUAUACGACAUUGCUAAGUUCAUUCAUCAGAGACUUGGGAAUACAGUACCUGUGAAAGGCAUUGGCAUUCCUGUACAUUGGACCUACGGGGACAUAGUCUGGGUCCUCCAUCGGGUUCCCAGUCUUAGCUUCUCUAAUCCCGGAUCUGGCUCUUCUUAGCCCCGCUUCUAGCCUCUCUAAAUCAGUGUCUACCCUUUUUUGCCACGCUUUCUCAACAAAACCAUAAGACUCAUUAAAAGCGGGCACAUUAUUGCGGGCGACAUUUACGGAAAAGUCUGAGGUACCUUCCUUUGUGGCGCUCUGCAUAAAUGUAGGCAUGAAUCAGCUUCGUAUUACCAAAUUGAGGGAUGCAAAUAAAUUGAGGGAGGGCACUUCAGAAAUGCUAACAAGGAACCAUACUAGCAGUGGCGGUCACUAUCAGUUACCAAUAAUGAAACUCUCACUAAAUGAGGAAAUACUUUACGUAAGGUGAUCACAAAGCGGAGUGGAAACUAAGGUGCCAUCAGUUACUAACAUAAAUGCAGGCAGAUUUCAUUAUCUUGUUCCAACACUGGGUUGCCUCCUGUGCUCAGCAGACACUCUUGAAGGUCAUUUCUGAGCAUAAAUCAAGACAAAUUUUGCAGAGAGAGAGAGAGAGGGAGGGAGGGAGUCUACGCUGUCACAUAGCAGAGAGGCUUAUGAAGUUUGGCACUGACACCAAUUAUAGACUCUACUUAGGUUUCUCAACAGAGCAAUGAAACAAAACAGGAUGCAACCAGGAAUGAUUUUACUAGUCCCAACAGGUUAAUUAAGCUUGUAAGAACUAAAACCCAGAGAGCUCUAUGAAGAGUUGAUGGGCAUUUAAGAAAUAAAAUCCAGAAAGCUUUAUGAAGAGUUGAUGGGCAUUUAAGAACUAAAACACAGAAAGCUUUAUGAGUCUCGUUCGUGCACGCAACCAAUUGAAGAGCUACUGCUAAGAAUUUUCAGGAUUAUUUAUGUAGGUAAUAUCUUGGCCCCAACAAAGGAAAAAAAAAGUGUGAACAGCGAAUUGCCUGUUACCCAAGCCAUCCCAUCAGUAAUUAACUGACUUAUCUAUAAAAUAAGCGUUCUGUGUACCGUAUAUCAAAUUACAUUUAAGAAAAGGGAAAUUACACUCGUUUUAUUUGGUGGCCUUUCAGCUGCAAGUGGCGGAGAAGCAGAGGGCUCAGGGGCCAAAGAAUCAUCUGAGACUGCUCUCUCCAUUUUCUGAACUCCGACCACCAUCAGCGGAGGGUCCGGCGCUGGAGGCCCCACCGCCGACCCACCACGGCCACUUCCGCCGUCACCGGCCUCUGCAUGCAGAACGGGAAUCUGCAAAGCGGCAUCCAGGAUUGGAGUCCGAGUGGGAGAGGAGUAAGAGCGAGAGGAGCUCCAUAACCACGAGUACGCGGAUACCAGAUCCCCGGCCGGUGACUUCCGCGGAGCGGCGACCGCAACGAGUCCCGCCACUGCAACCAGCGGCACCAUGAGAAGAAGGAGCUUUGUCGACGGUGACACGAACCAACAUGCACGAAGCUUCUUCUCACAAUCCAUCUCUCUCUCUCUCUCUCUCUCUCUCUCUCUCUCUCUCUCUCUCUCUCUCGCUGUGCAAUAUUGCAGGGGCCAAGAAGUGGAAAAGAUGAAGAUGGUCGUGCUAACGUUGGUAAUGUGGACUUGCCAAGUGUUUUGCUCUGGCUCUGAAUCUAACUGGGACUAGGAAGGAAAGAACCCACUUGGACAUUAAUGGUUUGCUCAACCGUGCCAAGCGUCGUCGUGCCCGGACCUCAAUCUAUGAGUUUCGCAUGCAAACUUUUCCUAUUCCCCGCUCUGCCCUUCCUUAAAUUUCUUUUCCUGGAUUCAUUCCGAAAAGAAAAGUGUAAUCUUUUGCUCUCUUUUUCACGUAAAGAAAAAGGUUUAGAUUGCUCAUGAAGGGUCGAGUGCGUAGUGGGGGAAAGAAAAUUUUUUUAGAAACGUCGGAAAUAGAGAAAUAUUUUUCGUAUAAACUUUUUUAUUAGAACGGAGUAAGCGGAGUUAUCGAUAUCAAACACUUUAUACACCUCCGAGCUUUACUUCUGCUAGUCCGACGUCCCUUUUUUGUCAAAAAAAAAAAAAAAACUAUUCAUUAUCAAACUAAUACAUGAAAAGAAAUCUCAAAAAUCUCUUUUAUAAGGUCAGAAUACCAACAAAAAAAAAAAAUCUAAGAAAAGUGAGAAGAAGAAAAGGAAGAUCGGAUUUUUGGAAAAAUAUAAAUAUAAAAAAUUCCUUGAUUAUUGGAGUAUUGCAUAUUUAUCCCUUAUCUUUCACCUAUUAGGAUGGAUUCGCUCGAUUUCCAUUUCUCAAUGUCUCAGAUUUUAUCGAAUCAUUAAUUUGAAAGCUUUCAAGUUUUGAAACAAUUUUAGUUUGUUUUCGUUAUAAAUUUAAUAAAAUUCAUGAAUAUAUUUUUCAUUACUUAUUUAAAACCUGGACAAAAUAUCAAAAAAAUCAUAAACAUAUUACAUUGAUACCAAUUUAAUCCUAACAUUUUAUAUUUAUAUCAAUUGAAUUCAUCCGGUUAAUUUUAACCGGAAAUCGUUGACCAAGGCGAUCAUUGUACAUGGCACGAUUGGUGCUAAUGUAAACAAAUUUUACAAAUUUUUAAUAUUUUUCUAAAUUUUUUAUUAUUUCCAUUCAAAACCAUUACGUCUAUUUUUUUCGUGAAGAAUACAAGAGGCUUCUAGUGUACUUUUUUCGCUAUAUUAUCCUAAAUCUUUACUCAAUUUCUAGGGGAGACGUCAUUCUUUUGGGUGUUAUUUUUGCAACUUGAAAAUGCCACUACACAUUUACAAUAUUCAACUCAUUGCAUGAAAUUUAUUCAAUUAGACCAAGGAUUUACUCAGUUAAUCCCUGUCAAAUCGAUGCUUGUAUAUUCAUAGGACAAUUGCAUUUAUAAAGUAAUUGCGCUUCUUCCAGAAGAAAGAUUUCUCUUACAAGUAAAAACAACAAUUGCAUAAAUAGGCGUAUUAGUUCUUCACAUUACAAUUAUAUGAUGCUGAAAUUUAGUUCGUACUUUGUAAAUUUCAGCAGGAAAUGUUAUACUAUUCUUUUUACAAUCCAAGAGCAUGGGUGCACGAAUCUAACAAUGUGGAAGCAGAUGAUACAUCUUUCACGUUCCAUAAAACAUCAAUUCCAAAUCUUUAGCAAAGUCACUAAAAGGAAGAUGGAGUCUAGAAAAGAUUAACUUCUGCCAAAAGAAGUGCCACAACACUAUUGAUCGGUGAUAUGGUACUGUUUGUUCACAAUGUAAGAUGUUACUUUAUGAAACUAAAGCAAUCUAUCUAGGCUUAUACAAUUAUAUGCAAUUUAUACAGACCUUUGAUUGCUAUUUUUCAGAUUGCCUAAGAAAUAUAUAUACACGUACUAUCUUGCGGGCAUUCGUUAAGCAUACUACAUGAGAAAUUAUUGAAAAUAAUCAGUACAUUCGAAAUUGCAAUAUUUCUCUAACAGUCCAUCAAAUGCUCUCAUGACGCUUUUUAACGAGAUCCUAUAUAUACGAAGCAAAGAGAACUCCAAAGGGCAAUUUCGCCAUGGGAGCAGCAGGUCUUGGAUGAUCUAGCCCGUUGGCUGGCCUGCCUCUCUCGUGCGCACCGCCCCUCUCAUUUACAGCAGUGACGGUCAAAAACCGUCGGAGCGAGGAUAAAUUUACGAGCGACCGUCCCCGCCCGCUUCGCUGAUCAUGAUGUCCCCCCGUCUACGGGACGGAAUCGUCUCCAGAUAAUUACGUAUUAACCUCGUUGCACCUCCCAACAAUUUCUUAUUCUCCUUCUUUUUACGUUUUUAUUGACGCUUUCAUCGGAGACCCAGUUCAAAUGAUUUUUCACGGCACGUUCUGUUCGUCUUUGUCCCCUUACGAUGUGAUGACCCAUUUCUUUAGAAAGACUUCAAAAGACUUCUUCAUUUUUCUCGCCUCAACCCCACGUCCCAAGCUCUGUUUCUCUAAAGUAAUAAAUUUGCAUCUUGAGGUUAUAUUAUUGAACAUCAAAUUACAUCUCAUGUUGAUUUUGCUAACAAGCAUCUCAAGAUACUUGUUAAGCACACGCGGUCAAUGAAAAUAUUCUAUUUUUCAAAGUGUUGAUUGUGCAUAUUACAAGAGCAGUUAGUACAUUGAGAAUGACAAUAUUUCUCUAAGUGCUCUAAUUCUCUUUUUAUAUAUAGGAUAAAUGACAUGAAUAGUGAUUGAACUUUAGUUGAAUAUAUAACGUGGUCUCUAAACUUUAAAUUUCUUCAAUAUGGUUAGUCCAAUGUGUAAUGCCGUUCUUAUUAAACUUUAACCCAUCAUAUAAUGUGAUCCUUGAAUUUUAAAUUUCUUCAAUGUGAUUAGUCUGAUGUGUAAUGUCGUUCUUGAAUUUUUUUAUUAAUCCUUGGACUGCAUGAAAAAAAAUUAGGUAAUAGUGUCCCCAAAUGACGUCGUUAGAGCCUCGAGGGGCACUUUACAAGAAUGCCACAUUUGCCAAUUUUGAAAAGAUGUUUCUGCACGUGACAUCACUGAACAAAAGGACAGAAGCCCAUUGGCCACAUUCACCCUUCGGAACCAGGAGCUGAGGGUUUCGACCGUCACCCCUUGCAGUCCGUCCACAUAGCGAUGCGAAAAUGACGGUGCUGGUUAAUCAGGCAUGCGAAUGCUGAGUCCAAUUCAUCUUAGGAUGCUCACCUCAGAUUCAUCCAAGUGCAACGAAAGAGCUCUAUUGCAACUCGUGGAGAGUUUGCCCACGGUAAUCGACAUAUAUAUUGCCCUACCAAUCAUGGUUGAAAGCAAAUGCUUUGUUAGAAAAGUAGCAGCAUAUGUAAUGUACUGUAGCGGAACAAGGCAAACAAGACAAUCCUUGGCCAAUCACCUCAUAAAAUGGCUCUCGCUCUCUCACUUCAAGGUACAACAUCAUUUGGUAGCCUUUACAAUUGCAGAAGAGAAACUUUUCCCCUCUACACUUGUAUCCCAUGUUUCACUAAGAGAAACCUUCCCUACCUGUAUCCCUGGUUCAGCAUACAUUUGUCAUUAUAUUAGUUGCUGCCACUUAUAUAGUUGGUUUUACUUCAUGUAGAACAUCAUAUGUUUAAUCACUCUUACCAUUUUAUAUAUUAUUUAUAUAUCAUUUGGGGUAAAAAGGUUUUCCGAAAUAUUACACUGCUUGGUAAAUUGUAAUUUCAAAUAAUAUUGAAAAAUAACUUUGGCAUAAGUACCGUUCGGUAAAACCCAUAUUUAUAAUAGGCUUUUGCUAUAUUUCUUUCUCUCUCUCAAGUUCGAAAAUUAACUCUAGUUAAGGUUAGUCGUCGCUAACUGCCGAACAACCACCAAACGGUUAGAGUACCAAAUCAAGCUAUCGGACGGCUAGAUCUCAUGGCUUGAGGUCACGCAAACCUCAGGCAAGGUUGCUUUAGGUUGCACGACCUCAAGCAUCGAUGCUACAUAGGGUUGUGUGGACCCAGGUGGCAUCACUUGAGUCGCGGGUUGCGCCACCCUUGGCAAUGGUCAUUAGGGACAUGCAACCCCUAGGCGACAGUGAUGGUUGCCGAAGAAGCUUGACUUAGGCGGCAAAUCGAGGAAGAUGAACAGCCGUGAUGAAUGGGGAAGAAGAUGGACAAUGACAGAUGAAUAGUAGACUUAACAUUUCCGAAAUGCUAAAAGCUCAAAGUAGGUCUCUAUUUGCAUUGGACUUUAGUAUUCGGAAUGCUAGCAUUUGGUUAAGGGAUUCUAAAAAAUACUUGCUAAACGCUUUAUAUUUUCCCCCAAAACCCCUUGCAAAUGCUUAACAAAAUAGGCCAUAAUUCCCUCAAUUUAAAAAAGAUUAUGUGAAUCCUCCAUGCAAUAGGAUCUUCGAUGUGAGAGCAACUUGACGCCCUAUGGAAACCGAAGGCACAAAAACCACCUAACCAUCUCUAAGAAUAGCUAGUCAUCUUAAUGGGAAUCACGCCAUCAAAUAUAUACCAACUCGACAUAAUAGAUCGUAUGGUAUACUCAUGAAACUGCAAAAGACAAAGAUCAAAUUUUGCCUCCAGUUUCAUAAAAUCAUUAAGUUUGACCUAGGAUGGAUCGAUACUUAAGCAAAGGCUGACCAGCCAAAUCAUUAAAUUUUGUAAACAAUGUUUUGAUCUAGCAUAUCAUACUUCUCGUAGUUAUUAGUGGAUUUUAGAUGAUAUCAAAUGGAGUUCUUAAUUAAAAAAAUCACCGCAAGUCUCUUAUUAAAAAAAUUAUCCAAUCAAUUAUAAACCUAUUAUACGGAUACUAAUUCAAUCAUAAACUUUUUAAUUUUGCAAUUUAGUCUAAAACUUUAUGCGAAAUGCCAAGUAUACCUUCUAGUCAGUUUUUGCCCUAAAGAGUAUGCCACGUAGGACAAGUGGCGAUGACGAGACCACUGCAUUAGUGACUUCCAGCAAAAAUUGAUCGGAAUGAUUAUAUUGAAAUUCUUUGUGCAAAGAUUUAAAAUUGAAUUGGCAAAAUUGAAAAAAUUUAGAAUUGAAUUGACAUAUGUACAAUAAGUUAGGACCAAUUGUGAAAUUUUCUUGUCCCUUAUUUAUCUCCACUAUUUUCAGUAUCCACGGUUUAUAGGGCCAAAUCGCAGCCACCGCGGGGAUUGUUGCUAUAUUUAAAAUCAGGACAAUUUACUAAAAGACCAUAGUUAUUUUUGAAAGGUAUUUUAAUCCCCACAGAAACUCAUAGAAGAAUAUACAUAUGUAUUGAAACAAAUAUACACUCACUCAAACAUUGAGGUAAUUACUAAACGAUUCUUACAGACAGACUUCGAGAAGCCAUCUCACUAAAAUACAGACAAACCUAAACAAUUAUAAGAGAAAAACCUUUGUUUUCUCCUUGUUUUUCUCUCGCACCUGCGAGCUCUCUCUCUACCCCAUGGUAGCGUUUCCCCCUUCUUCACAAUCCCUAAUCCCUUGAACCUGUGCUUGAUUGCGAGUUCCGAUUCCCCCCCCCCCCCCCAGUGAUCUCUUCCCCCUCGUACACUAAAAGAGAAAGGAAAAAAAAAAACUAACGAAUGAUGCCAUCUCCGAUGAAGUGGAAGCAUGGAGACCCCAUCAGGCAGGAGAGAAUGGAAUAAAAAGCAUCUCUCAGGUGAAGCGCCGAUCCACUGUUCCCAGUCCUGAUCUCCGCAGAAUCGGCAUAAUUCCGUGAGUCUUCGAACUUUGUCUUGUCUGGGUGAGGAACCCGCGGAGGUAGCGUCAAACUUGAAAUCGGGUAGAAUCGUGAAUGUUGAUCGAUUGAGCAUCACAGAAAACAGUGGAUAGUUAGAAACAAUGGAGAGUAAGGAAGAAAAUGAGUUGAGAAUGGCAGCAUUAUGUAAAAGCCUAGGGUACCUGUGGUCUGAGGAAGAUGUAGUUGAAGUGUUUGAUGAAAUACCUCAUCAGAAAAAGGAGGAAUGCAGGCGUACUCUCUUCGGCAAAUUAUUUUCCAAACCAAAUGUGAACUAUCCUGCAUUUAUAAAUACAAUGACAAAAGCAUGGAAGGCAGAAGGAGUCAUCUGCUCGCAAAAGGAACCGGGGCUAUUCACCUUCGUAUUUCCAACGGAGGAGGAAAAACAGCGAAUCUUAAGGAACUCACCUUGGUCAUAUUCAACCAACCUGCUCGUGCUACAGCAAUGUCUUCCAGAAGUCCCAGAGCAUUGUUAUGACUUCUCUAAGGCAGCCUUCUGGGUGCGUAUUGAAGGAGUCCCCCCUGGUUGGAGAAUAGAAAAAGUUUACAAUGACCUGGGGAAAAGGCUGGGGAAGGUUAUUGAAGUCCAAUUGGACACAACAACUCAUGUUCAGAAUAGAGGAGGUCGAGUCAGAGUUGAAAUUGAUCUGACAUUACCGCUGAAAGCAGGAGCUGUUCUGGAUAUUGGAAACAAAUGCCUCUGGGUGGAGUUUAAAUACGAGCGCCUCCCACACUUCUGCUUCUCCUGUGGAAGGAUCGGACACUAUGCUACUGACUGUCUUCAACUCCCAUACGUAACAUCACCCUGGGCGUUGAACAAGAAAGGGUCACAUGGACCCUGGCUAAAGGCUGAAACCAGUGAUCACAGCCCCUAUUGGGAUGCAUUCUACGGCAAACUAGAGGAGUUAGUAGUGGAAGAAACUCUACCUGUUCCGUCAUCUGAACCAGGGGAGGGGAAAUCCCCAGAGCAAGAACCAACUACUGAUAUGCAACUUGUCGUAUGCAGCAAGAAGCGACCCGAAAGAUGUUCAGAACAGAUGACACAUCCAGCAAAAGAUCCUACAGCAGGAGAAGAUAAGGAUCGAGGAAAACAGGUUAUAAACCUUGAAACUCAAAAUCCACUGGUAUUGAAAAUCGGGAAAAGUAGUAAGAAGACAAUGAAAGUUCAGAAAGCAAAAAAACAGAAAUGCAUGCCAGAAAUAUCAUCCCUCAUCCCAGAUGAUGUCGAUCUAAUGGAAACCCCAGUGAAUCUGAUACAGGAAGGACUAAAUUGGGCUUUGGUGGCUAGCCCUAAUAAGCCACCACAAAAGCCAUGAAAAUAGUGAGUUGGAAUUGUCAGGGGCUGGGUACCCCCCUGACAAUUCGGGAAUUACGAGCUUUGAUAGCUCUUGAAAGGCCCAAGUUACUUUUUCUUAUGGAGACGAAAAACACAGCUACCAGGGUGGAAAGAAUCUGCAAAAAGUUCCCGUUUCAGCAACGAUACUUAGUGGAGCCAACAGGAAUAGCGGGGGGAUUGGCAAUUAUGUGGCAAGAGGAAGUCAGUCUAAAGGUGCAACACAGCUCUAAACACUUCAUUGAUGUACAGUGUAUCGAUCCAGAAAGUAAACAGAAAAUGCAGAUCACCUUUGUACAUGCAUCCACUGAUUUUGGAGAGAGGAUGGCAUUAUGGCAACUACUGGGAACAUUUAAACCUUCAGCUUCUAUUCCCUGGAUCUGCAUGGGAGAUUUCAAUGAGAUACUAUAUAUAUGGGAGAAAGUUGGGAAAAAGGAGGCAGAUAAUCGAAGAAUCACAGCUUUCAGAAACAUGAUAAAUGACUUAUCCCUGAUGGAUGUCGAGAGCCAUGGAUGUGCAUUCACAUGGACUAAUAAAAGGGAGGGGGCCGAGCUGGUUAAAAAGCGACUUGACCGAGUACUUUGUAAUCUAGAGUGGCGAAUCACCUUUCAUGAAGCAGAAGUACAAGCCCUUCCUGCAAUCGGAUCAGAUCACAGCCCCCUAAUUCUUUGACUGCAUCCUAAAAUACAAAAAAGGAAAAAACAGUUUAAAUUGGAAACUUUCUGGACCGAACAUGCAAAAUAUCAGGAAGUCAUCAAGCAAGCCUGGGAAGAUAAAUCAUCUCAACAAUCUCUAUUUCCAGAGAAGUUAGGGAGGGCAUCGAAAGAAUUAAUGAAGUGGAGCAAAGAAAAGUUUGCAAACGCCUAUAUACAGAUCAAAGAGCUUAAUCAAGCUUUACAAUCAAUCACGAAUCAAAAAACUCAGCACACAAGCAGACAGGAAGUGCAGCAGAUUAUCAGCCAGAUAGCCACUUUGAGAAAACAUGAAGAACAAUUCUGGGGAAUGAGGUCACGAAUCAAAUGGCUACAUUGGGGAGACCAAAACACCAGAUUCUUUCAUGCCACGACAAUCCAAAGGCGACAAAACAAUCGAAUUACAAUGCUACAAUUAGAAGAUCAAAGCUGGUGCAGAGAACCAACAAGGAUACAGCAACACAUCAAAGCUUUCUAUGAGAAUCUAUACAGCUCUGAUGGUCCCCGACAUUAUCAACCGAUCCUAGACCAAUGUCCCUCACCGAUAACAGAGAGUAUCAAUGAAGAAUUAGUAGCUAUACCUCUAUGGGAAGAAAUAAAGGAAGCAGUUUUCCAGCUGGGAGCUCUCAAGGCUCCAGGCCCAGAUGGCUUUCAUGGUGUUUUCUAUCAACAGUCAUGGGAAACUAUUAAGACUGACCUGUUGAAGCUUGUGCAGGAGUUUUUCGAGACUAGUGUUCUUGACCACAGACUUAACCAAACACAUAUCGUGUUGAUCCCAAAAGUCAAAAACCCUGAAACCAUCAGCCAAUAUAGACCCAUUAGCUUGUGUAACUUCAGCUACAAAGUCAUAUCAAAACUAUUAGCAAACAGACUAAAGAAAUGGCUGCCACUUAUCAUUGAACCAGAGCAGGGAGCUUUCGUUUCGGGGAGGCAAAUCCAGGACAAUAUCUUCAUAGUCCAGGAAGUUCUGCAUCAGCUGCGCAUAACCAAAAAGAAGACAAAACAUCACGCAAUUGUGAAGCUUGAUAUGCAGAAAGCAUACGAUCGAAUCGAAUGGGAUUUUGUGCGAGAUCUAAUGUUGCAUAUGGGAUUUGAAGUUAAAUGGGUCUCCCUAAUCAUGCAAUGCAUAACAACAGUCUCUUUUAACUUAAAGAUAAAUGGCGAACCAACCUCUCUCUUCCAUCCUUCAAGGGGACUCAGACAAGGGGAUCCAUUAUCACCCUAUAUCUUCAUCCUCAUCUCCAAUGUCUUAACCUAGAUGAUGAAGAAAGCAUUAGCAGAAGGCACACUCAAAGGCAUACAGGUAAACAAACACUGUCCUAAACUAUCACAUUUGCUGUUCGCCGAUGACGUUAUAUGUUUUCUAGAUGGAACCAUUACAGAGUGCCAGAACCUCCACCUCAUACUAAACCAAUACUGCUAUGCUACGGGACAAGCUAUUAAUUUGAAUAAAUCAGGGGUUUUUUUCAGUAGGCAUUGUCCAAAAGUUUUGAAACACAAUUUGGCGAUGGAAUUGAGAGUUCCUAUCCUACAGAAAACAGGAAAAUACCUGGGCAUACCGACUGAGUGGGGCCAAUCCAAGAAAGAGAUGUUUUCGUGGAUCAUGGCUAGAGUAAACUCUAAGUUAGUAGGAUGGAAAGAAAAAAUGCUUACAAAGGCAGGUAAGGAGGUGCUUAUCAAAAGUGUCGUGCAAUCCCUUCCUACCUAUGCCAUGUCCACCUUCAAGCUGCCAUUAUCGAUCUGUCGAGCCAUAGAACAACGUAUUGCGUCUUUCUGGUGGCAGAAUGGUGAUGCUAAAAGAGGCCUGCAUUGGAAAAGCUGGGAACUGUUAAAGACUCGAAAAGAUGCAGGGGGAAUGGGGUUUAAGGAUCUGAUUACCUUUAAUCGAGCCAUGCUAGGCAAACAGGCCUGGCGAUUAGCUACCUCCCCUCAAGCCCUAUGGAGCAGAGUAUUGAAAGGGCUUUAUUUUCCCGACGGAGAUAUCUGGCAUGCUUCCAAGGGUAGUCGCCCAUCAUGGGGAUGGCAAAGCAUCCUACUCGGCCGCGACACAAUAAAGAACAAGAUGAAAUGGUCAGUAGGAGACGGGACAUCUAUUCGCAUAAAAGAAGAUAGAUGGCUGUCACAAGGAGUAAUUGGUGGGGCAGUAAACCAAACUGAGCCUAAAAUUGUGUCAGAACUGAUCAAUCCAGAAUCAAAUGACUGGAACCAGCCACUCAUAUACCAACUUUAUGAAGAAAAAAUUGCAAACGAGAUCACCGCCAUCCCCCUUACCCAGCCACCACAGAAAGACACGAUUAUAUGGACAGGGAACAGCUCAGGACAAUAUUCGGUCAAGAGCGGCUACAACGAAGCACGAAAAGCUACCAGCAAUACAGAUCAGAAUCGACCCUCCUGCUCUUACCAACCCCCACGUACCUUAUGGACACAAAUGUGGAGUCUCGAUGUGCCCCCAAAAAUUCGCUCCUUCCUCUGGAGUAUUUGCCAGAACGCCCUCCCGACGAAGGAAAACCUAUUCAGAAGGAAAAUUGUUAGUGACCCCCGAUGCCCUAUAUGCUAUUCGAGUACAGAAACAACAGAACACUUGCUGUUCUUCUGCAAGUGGACAAAAAAAAUCUGGCAAGACCCAAUUUUUGCAACGAUCAGGCCAAAUAAUGGCCUCCAACGCACGGAUCAGUGGCUUACAAGUGCCUUUCGAAGAGACAGGAACUUACCCGAGCGAGAGCUGGUCAGUCUGGUUCUGUGGAACAUCUGGAAGGCGCGAAACAACCGGAUCUUUCGUGCGCAGGAACCCCGACCAGCAGAUCUGCUGCUUGCAGCACAGGAACAACAGUACUCGUUCAGCAAGAGCACAUCAAACAGAAGAGAGAGAUCUCCCAAUCGAAGCAAACCUGGUCCGUGGAGGCCUCCGGAAGGGCAAAAUCUGAAGAUGAACGUCGAUGCAUCGUGGCAACCCGGUGAUCUCCUCUGCUCUGUCGCCGGAGUGGUUCGCGAUGCCGAGGGAAGGAUGAUUGAAGGUUUUGGGGCCACAGCUAGGGUUUCCUCCGCAAGUGAAGGGGAAACUCAAGCAAUAUUACACGGGAUAUCGUAUAUGAACGAACUCAACUCCAAACACGUGCGGGACUUCGGAAGCAACCUGACAGGAAAGUGUUUAAUUGAAAGCGAUUGUUCCGUAGUGGUAGACAUGGUGAUGGGCCGGGCCGACCCUCCAUGGGAUCUAAAAGAACUCGUUCAGAGAUGCAAAAAUGGGCUUCAGCAGGACAACAAUAUUAUGGUGACCUAUAGUCCUCGCCACACAAAUGCAGCGGCAGAUUGGGUAGCACGACAUCAUCGACUAAAUGACCUUCCUCGCAAUUGGGUCUCUUCUCCCCCUGGUUCCUUAUGGAAUAUUUUAUGCGCAGAUCUCUCACCUUCGGUGGUUUGUAAGACUCCUAUUUAAUCUAGUAAUAGUCACUCCUUUGUUGUCCAAAAAAAAAAAAAAAAAACAAUUAUAAGAGACUUAAAAUCACGUAGUUAAAACUUAAAGGCCACAAUUAAGAUCCUAUACCGCACCUAAUUGACUCCAAAUUAUUGAAUUACAAGAGACAUUCACAAACAUGCCGACAGGGAAGGACGAAGCAACACGAGUUUUCUCCGCGUAAAUCAUGUAAUCCCCCGAAAUAACAACAAACUAAGCGUAUAUCGAAGCGCCUUAGCUUUGGAUGUGCGGCAGGACAAGACAAUUAGAAACGUGAUUCUUGAGAUGACUCUCUGCAACUUCUAAAUCGACUUGGAUUAUGUAUUGGGCCCUUGGUUUUGAAUAGCUCGCAUAGUUCUUUUCGAUGACCACGCGUUGAUAUCAACUUCUGAGGCGUCGUCACAUCAAGGACUCUUGAUUUUGUCACAUCUACAAGUGCAGAUACGCACAAAAGCAAGACGGGGCAAGACCAGAAUCAUGUCUCAUUCGGCCAUUGGAGAGAGAGAGAGGUUGCUGCUGAGAGAAACCGGAGACAAACGAGAGGAUGAUGAUAUCUGGCCGAGGAGAGCUUCGUGGGUGAGAAGCUGGUGAGAGUAGAACAUUCUUCUUGCUUGCACCGCCUGGAACUUUCACAGAAGAGGGAAAGCUUGAAGGAAAUACAGGGAGCGUUCACUGAAGGAAAGCAAAAGGGGGGCUCAUUGGUUUUUUGGGGAAUCGCAGAAGGCUGGAUCAAAAAGUUUUGGGGUUCUUUGGAAGCUGUCCUCACACAGAAACGGGAGCGGCAUCUUUUCUUUCUUGGCUGAAACCAUAUCGCAAGAGGGGAGAGAGAGGAACGCUUUGACGAAGAGAGAUUUCAGAGGGAGAAGGGGAGAGGCGACAGGAAAAAAAGAGAGCGGGGGCUUUUCUUUUUCUGGAAGCGCCGCUCCUUCUCCUUAGACAGACUUGACCAAGCCACCUCGACCAUCUCCAUCCUUCUUCCCAUCUCUCACCACUCUCAGUGCGGCCGCCACAAAGAGCGUUCUCUCGGGUUUAGUCCUCGACCUUGAAGGCUCCAAGCGGAUUUUCUUUCGAAGCCCGUGCUCGUCCCCACGAGCGACGUUUCCCCGGCUCUCCUCGCACCAGCCGCCCAUUUUCUCGAGCUUUGCCGACGAACACGCAGCAGCCGCGACGCCACUUACUGAUCAGCUAAGCAUCUCGCUCCCCCAGACGUCCUGUUUUUUCUUCAUGCCGAUCGGGAAUUAAGAACAGAAAUUUCAAUCAAUGAGAUCGUGGUCUAAUCUUGUGAAACCGAGAUAUACUUGUGAGAGACAAUGUUAUUUGGAGUGUGAUAUGUCAUUUUUAGACCGAAAAUCAUAUCAAAAUCGGAUCGGAGGCUUGUUCUUGGUACUGCACGUCACAUAUUUGAUACAAUACCUGAAUGAUAUACUGAGAUCCAUGCUAUCCGAUCGACGUUAGAAGUUUAAUUUAAUGCGUUAUUGUCCUUAUAUUGUAAAGGAAGUCUGAUUUUUGUGUCUCUCGUUGUGUUUUUAUGCGAUUUCGUGGAAACUAAUGGUUCGUCGUCGAGUUGGCCGUAAAUCCUCCUCUCCGACGGAAAUCUUCCCCUCGCCGGCGUGCCCUGCGGUUCAAGGCCACCCCAGUCAGUUCGUCUCUCUGAUUUGUAGUGCACUGGUGAUUAUAUGCUUGCUAGAAAGGCUAGGAUGGAAGAAAUUAAUCUUGUGUGGAUAUUUUCCGUUGAUUAUUGCGAUCGCCGGAGUAAGCUUCCGGAGUUGGUGACCGUCGGUCGGAGCAGGUGACUACCGGUUGGUGUUGGUUCGGUGGCGACGUGUAUGCCGGCGACGACGCGUAUAGAGGUUGAUUCGCCAAUAAUUCUGGUUCGGUUAAGUUGCAGAAGGAAAAGAGAUUCGGGGAAGAAGAAGGCGCGAGGUUGAAGAAGAAGGUGCAGGGGAAAAAGACAAAACAAGGAAGAAGACAAAAGGGAACGAAUAAAAGAAAUUAAGAAAAUCAUAUAAAAAUGUUUUUUUUUCAAGAUAUAAAAAUGUUUAAACUUUCGGGUUUUUUAAUCUGAUCGGGCCGGAUCCGGCUUUUUGGGUCGGGUCAAUGGCUCGGAUUGGGUAAACCCGGUCCGGACCGUUCCUCGAAUAUAAUAAUAAAUUUUAAAAAUUAAAAAUUUCUUAAAAAAUAAAAAUUCAGAAAAUGAUAAAAUUUAAAAAAAUAUAUAUGAAAUAAUAAAAAUAUAAAAAAAUUCGAAAACCAUUAAAAAAUUUAGAAAGUUCUAAGAAAUUGUAACCCAAAAAUUAGACAAGCUUUAGGGCUUUACAAUAGGGAUUCUUGUUUUGGGUUGUGUUGUUUUAUUUAUAGGGACUUGUGUGCUUUCUUUCAUGGUUAUAAUUAAUUGUGCAUUUCAAAAUUUUGGAGGUUACUUUUCUACUCUAGAAUUGGUUAAGACAAACUUAGACUUUUUUCUAGAUAGGCUGCUAUGGCAUCAGUUAGGUACCGAAAGAGUAUUAAACUUAGGGUUAACAUAAUCAAGUCGAAUCUCUGGUUGCAUAAAUAAUAAGAUAUUAUCCUGUAUCUUAUUAGGUUUCUAGCCGACCCUAAAAGGGCUGGCGACUACUUAGUUAUAAUCUACAUAGGUUUAAUUGAUUAAAAACAUCAAAGCUCAACGUCAUGUGAGGUAUGGGCUUACAAAAGCCCGAGUAAAUGAAAAGCUCUCGUCUUGAAGUUGACAAUACCUCUAAAUCUAAUAGCUCUGCUCUUGUGAGGAGUUAAGUUGCAACAGUUAUCAAUUGUGCUAGUUAUCCAACUAGCAUAUGAAUACCUUUUUAGUACUAUUGGUUAUCUUUCAUAAAAAAAGACCAUAAGGCAUUUUUUUUAAUAAGCAAAAAUUCUACUUAUAACCUUCCAAUGCACAGUACUAGGGUUACUCGUAAAUCUUGACAAUUUACAAAUAAUAAAUGCUAUAUCUGGUUUAGUGCAAUUCAUAGUGUACAUCAGACUUUUAAUUGCACUAGCAUAUUUUGACUAUGCCAAUGGUUGCCUAAUAUAUUCCAUCAAUUUAAUUGAUACAUCAUAUAGUACAUUUGACUCUUUAAUUUCCAAAUACUAGUAUUUUUUAAAUGAUCUUCUUCACAUAGUAACAUUGACUUAAAGCAUAACCCCACGAUGUUUGAACACUUCGAUACAUAUAGUUGUAUCCACUUCUCUUAAAUCUUUCAUUUUAAACUAAGAAGAUGGAUACUUUUUAAUUUCAUUUAUGCCAAGCAUAUUUGUAUCACCAAUCAGAAUAUCAACUACAUAUAAGCAAAUUAUAACUCCAUACUCUUUAGUAAUUUUUGAGUAAAUGUACUUAUUAGCAUUGUCAUGUUUAAAUCCAUAUGGUGAAACCACCGAAUCAAAAUCUUCAUGCCGUUGUUUCGGUGCUUUCUUUGUCUAUGCUGAUGUUGCUAUUCUCAACAAAAUGCCCCUUAUUUACAACUUCUUUCAAAUAAUUAGCCUCACGAUCCUAAGAACCUUCCUCAAUUUGAAUGCAUUUUAUCAUAUUAUCCACAAUCAGGCUCUCAAUCAUAUGAAGAAGUUAAUUUCGAUAAUUAUUCCAAGUUUAAGGCAAUUUAGAAAUAAUUGUAGCAACUUGAAAAGGCUCAUAAACUUCAAUCAUAAAGUCUUUGAGUUUGGCAACAUAUAUUUAAAGUUGAUCCACUUGCUUAGCAACGGAUUUUCCAUUGAUCAUGGCAAAGUCAAAAUAUUUCAAAGCAGUAAUUCUAUCUACACCUUGUUUGUUAGCAUUGUAAUUUGGUCUCCAAGGCAUUCCAAAUGUCACUGGAAUUUGUGUAAGUUCGGAAAGUUUCAUAUAGACGAUCUGAUAGAGGAUUAAGAAUCCUUUCUUGGCACCUCCUUUCAUCAUCCUCACGCAUAGUUCAAAUAGAAGAAGAAUCAUAAUAUCCUUCCAAUGGAUGAAAAUAGUUCCAUCAUAAGGAUUGAUUUGCAAUUUGUCAAGAUUGCAAGCCCUUGAUGCAGCUGAUGUCUUCAUCUCCAUGAUAAUAAUACCUUAAGAUUGUUGGGGAAAUUUGUUUGGUGAAGAAAAUAGAGAUGUAAUAGUAGAUCAUUGAUACUUUGAUGUGUGAUGACAAUCACUGUUCUUAAGGUAUUAUUUGCAUUCCCUAUUGUUGCUGCCAAAUUUAGAACAAAUAUACUUCUAGGCUAUAUACCAAAGCCGCAGAAAAACGAGUUUAGCAGUUACUCAAAUCUCUCUUGGAAUUUCUCCUUUAAUGUGUUAAGGUUGCAUGUAUGAAAAGAGAAAAAGAGAGAGUUCUAAAGAAGAAGCAAUUAUGAAUAGUUGUGGUUAUUAUAAAUAAUAUGUGAAUUGGUCUCUAUUCACAGACAAUCAAUCAACACAUCUCUUGGAAAUAGAUACUUUAUCCAUAAUCAUUACCACACUUCAUGUUAAGAAUCACUUCCUUUCAUAACUAACAUCUUUUUUUAUUAGGCUUCUCCUAACAAAGAGAUUUUUUUUUUUUUAUUUAUGAUAACAAACUAUUUUAAUAUUUACGCCAUGAAAGAGGCAUAACUUUAGACUUCUUAAUUACUACAACUUGCAUAGGUAAACAGAUGGCAUUUGGAUUUUUCAAAUGUAGUACCAUGUUUUUUAAAGGUUAGGAUGGCCCGUCAUAUCCAAUGAGUAAGACCUCGUAAAAGUGAAUCUAUAUUGUAAGUUCUAGUAUUUACAAAUCCGCAUGACGAUCCGUCAUUGCUAGGAACGUAUAUUACAUUUUCUUUUUUAAUUGGCAAUGCACACCAAUAUCUUUAAAGAUAUAUCAUCUCGAACAGCAACAUGUUGUGAAGUCGUAUAUUUCAUGAUUACAACCACUUGCAUAGGUUUACGACGGUUCCAUGCAACAAAUAGCAAACUGUUGUUAAGUUUGAUUUACGACAAUUUACAACUUGAUUUUGAGGCACUACCAUGCCUGCCACUUAUAGCUCCGGUGAUGCCGGGUGCGCCCAAUUCCUCUCCUCUUGAGAGUCCUCAUUUGUUGCUGAAUAGAAGUUCUAUAAUAUGCUUUUGAGUCUUUUAUAUUUUGGGAAAAUAGAUCUUGGUCCAUUGACUUCAUUAAGUAGUUCCUAUAAUAUCAAAUUGAUUUUAGAAACACUAGUCCUUAGCCUCGUCAGAAUUCGAAGAUGAGGUCUACGGUUUUAUAUAAGACAUGAUUCUGGUCUUGCCCCGUCUUGCUUUUGUGCGUAUCCGCACUUGUAGAUGUGGAUGCUUCUUGCGGAAAAUAUGGUUUGCAGGGCAUGUGAAUGCUUCAUGCAUUACAUUUGUUUUUAGUCAAUGUUGGCACUGGAAAGUUCAAUGGUGGGUCACAGUCUUCACUUCAGCACGAAAUUGAUUAUGCAUUCUACCGAACUUGCUUCAUUGCAAUAUAUUGAGUUUCCAGAGACGUGUUUGGCAUGCAACCACUUGAGUUUGAGAUGAAGUAAAUAUGUGCUGUUUUACAUCGAUUAUACAUUCUAAGGGAUUACUGUUCAUUGCAUCUCUAGUUUUACCCCUAAUGCUAAUGUUUCUAUUCAGAGCCAUGGAGCUUCAAAGUUGACUCACAAGAACUGGGAUGUUAUGCCAAAAUUGCUGCCAAACGUGUUUUACGUAAUUUCUAUUCCUCUUGCAAUUUUCAUCUUCACAUAAGGUGAGGAUGCCUUUUUAAUUUUAUUUUUUUUGUAAUAAGUAAUAAGCUGAGGAUACUUGAAUGCAAAUAAUUGGGUAUUUGUUGUGCAUCUGACAUGUGAAAUAAAAUGGUAUGUAGUCUUAUUGCUCUUUGUCUUAUCGAGUGCAAUGGCGUAAAAAAUUAUUCAUUUGUCCAAUCCUACUUAGCCGGCUGAGUUGUUGUCGUUGCUGCCGCUGUUCUGUGGCCGGCCUUUGUGAAGUCAAAUUUGGAAAAGAUUUAUAAUUGAAUUUAUCUUCUGGACAUUAUGUUCGCAUAAAUAUGUGUAGGACCUAAAGGGGCUGCUCAUGUAGACUGCACUUGAAACUCGUGCACGGGAAGACCAUCCCGAAAGGACUAAUGUUAGAUUGCACUUGAUAUUGUUUGUGCUUCUCUUUCAUUCAUUUAUGAUUGUGGUAAUUCCAUCCUCCGGAGCUCUCCUGCAUGUUUUUCCAUCUCACUCUGUUGCUUCAAUAACUUCAGUUUAUUACUUUUCAGUCUUGCUUUUGCUAUAAAUGAGUGGCUGAGCCCAGAGGUCCAAAAACUCCGAACAGUACGAGGGUCAAUUAGCGUGGCGCAAGUUAUGCUUGGCUAGGGAUCAAUAUAUAUACAACUUUUUUGUUGCCGGGUUACCGUAUACUUAGAUUGUCAAGAUUGUCGAGAGAAGACAUGAUUCCUAUAUGCCGUAAUAGGAUAAAUUUUACAACGGAUGAUGCAGAAAUAAACCAUUGGCAAUCACACGGGUUUUCAGUACUAUCUGUUCAGAUGAAUGUUUUUUGGAUUUCUUUGACUGGCUUAAGGUGUUCGUUCUUCUCUUGCAUUUUUCAGCUUGAUACUUAAGAGAUGCUCCUUUUGUUCGUCUUUCCCAAUGAAAAACUUGGAAGUUGAAGGAGCUUUGAUUUCUGAUUUAUGAAGCAGCGACAGUUUCUACUGGAGUCGAGCUGUGGAGUAGUGGUUAUCAUUUGACGCGUUCUUCUGGUAUUUCUAGUAAGCAAUCACUUUGUUAUUUCUUGAAAUGAGAACAAUGUAAAAAGAGCAGAGCUGGACGAAGACACCCACGUCUUCUAUUGUUCUUGCAUAUGGGCAUAUUGCAACAUAUUUCAUUAGUUAAGUACGGAGUAAGGUUAAUGUAAUUAUGCUAUUGAGUCAUUUUCUUCCCUCUUUGUUCUUAUCAGGCUUAUCACGGUGGAGUCUACCUGGGGUGCCCAUCACCCAAUCUUCUCUAAGUAGAUCUACUACAUUAUUCAUGUUCGGCUGAGCCACCCAUGUAUCGAUAAAAUGGAAUUUUCUCUAUUCGUAUCUGCAUCAUCUUUUAAGGGAGACAUACCCUUUUUAGUGUCUACCCUUUGUUUUGUUUUGUUUUGUUUUUUUUUUUUUUUGGGGGGGGGGGGGGGGGGGUUGUGAAUGGGAGGUAGAGUUGUCCUCGGCUAGGGCGACAUUUUGUUGGAGAAGAUCGCGAUUAUUAUGAUUUUAUUCUUGACUUAAUUUUUAAAGGGAAAAAGACAGAUAUGUGGAGAUAAAAUAGGAGAACAUAAUCAAAUUGUAAUCUUGAUCAUUCUUUCCUUAUUCUUUCAUGUGUACUAGUAAUAUGUACAUGUACAAGUGCUAUACAAGUGAAUGAAAUACGAGGCAUCCUCCCAAAUAUGUCUCAUCAUCACUUCCUUCAUGAUNNNNNNNNNNNNNNNNNNNNNNNNNNNNNNNNNNNNNNNNNNNNNNNNNNNNNNNNNNNNNNNNNNNNNNNNNNNNNNNNNNNNNNNNNNNNNNNNNNNNNNNNNNNNNNNNNNNNNNNNNNNNNNNNNNNNNNNNNNNNNNNNNNNNNNNNNNNNNNNNNNNNNNNNNNNNNNNNNNNNNNNNNNNNNNNNNNNNNNNNNNNNNNNNNNNNNNNNNNNNNNNNNNNNNNNNNNNNNNNNNNNNNNNNNNNNNNNNNNNNNNNNNNNNNNNNNNNNNNNNNNNNNNNNNNNNNNNNNNNNNNNNNNNNNNNNNNNNNNNNNNNNNNNNNNNNNNNNNNNNNNNNNNNNNNNNNNNNNNNNNNNNNNNNNNNNNNNNNNNNNNNNNNNNNNNNNNNNNNNNNNNNNNNNNNNNNNNNNNNNNNNNNNNNNNNNNNNNNNNNNNNNNNNNNNNNNNNNNNNNNNNNNNNNNNNNNNNNNNNNNNNNNNNNNNNNNNNNNNNNNNNNNNNNNNNNNNNNNNNNNNNNNNNNNNNNNNNNNNNNNNNNNNNNNNNNNNNNNNNNNNNNNNNNNNNNNNNNNNNNNNNNNNNNNNNNNNNNNNNNNNNNNNNNNNNNNNNNNNNNNNNNNNNNNNNNNNNNNNNNNNNNNNNNNNNNNNNNNNNNNNNNNNNNNNNNNNNNNNNNNNNNNNNNNNNNNNNNNNNNNNNNNNNNNNNNNNNNNNNNNNNNNNNNNNNNNNNNNNNNNNNNNNNNNNNNNNNNNNNNNNNNNNNNNNNNNNNNNNNNNNNNNNNNNNNNNNNNNNNNNNNNNNNNNNNNNNNNNNNNNNNNNNNNNNNNNNNNNNNNNNNNNNNNNNNNNNNNNNNNNNNNNNNNGACUCAGGCUCGGGCGAGGACGGCCCUUACCGGCGUUUGGCGAGGACGACCCUCGCUAGAUUUGGCGAGGGCAGGGACACCCUCACCCGAUGUAGGCGAGGGCGGCCCUCGCUGGUGUCUGGCAAAGGCAGGGACACCCUCGCCCGACACAGGCGUCAGGCGGCCCUCGCCGGCGUCGGGCGAGGACGGCCCUUGCCAGAUCUGGCGAGGGCACCCCUCGACUGACGCAGGCGAGGGCGGCCCUCACCCGACGCCGGCGAGGGCUGCCCUAGCCCGACGCCGGCGAGGGUGACCCUCGCCCGACGCUGAUGAGGGCAGCCCUCGCCAGACGCCGGCUUCCCUUCACCGGCCAGCUGGCAGAGGGAAGAGACAAGAAGAAUUUUUUUAAAAAAAAGGGCCGUUACUCUCCUUGGAAACGAUAUGGUCGUUCAUAAAGGGCCGUUACUCUCCUUGGAAAACAACGACAGUAAUGCAAGCAUUUUCCUAUACAGAACAUGUGGCUUGCUUAGCACGCAUUGGUUUUUGUUUUGAAACAAUAAGAGUUCUGUCUUUUAACGGUCAACGAUUAAACCAUACGCGGUGAGGACUGCCAUGUGGUGGGAAUUCGCUUGGAAAAAAUUGAGGGUUAUAGUGUCAUUCAGCUGAAUUUUCUUAGGAAAUUACAUGAGUUAAGUCUUAUCAAAGCUCCAUUUGUCAAUCAAAACUUGUGGACCAUAAAAGGGUUACACCACAUAUGACUUUCAAGUACUUUUCUUUGAAUUAUUGUAAGAGUAAGAAUUGGGCAAGAAAUAUCACAAAGCGAUGGAUGGUGUGCAUUUGUCCAUGUGCUCGGAGAUUAGGUAUGGAUAGACCCGUCAAAAUGGGUCAUGACUUUCAAGUUCUUUUCUCUGAAUUAUUGUAAGAGUAAGAAUUGGGCAAGAAAUAUCACAAAGUGAUGGACGGUGGGCAUUUGUCCAUGUGGUGGGCAUUUGUCCAUGUGCUCGGAGAUUAGGUGUGGCUAGACCCAUGAAAAUGGAUCAUUGAUGAAAAUUUUAAUCCAAUGUGGCCAUCUUCUCACCAUGCUUGAUGAGAAGAAAACCAUUCACCAUCUUUUCCAUCUUUUGGGGUUUCCUUUCCGAGCAAUUUUUUACUUUUUCCUUUGCCGUAUGGAUUGAUGAAGAGAAAGUUAAUGACCGCGGUUCAACCUUAAUCAUCUGGAUCAAUUCAUACGAAAUAUAUUAAUUUAAAAAUUCAUCACUCAAUACAUUAACAUAUCUAAAUUUCUUCAUUUAUUGAAAACCCUUAUGUGGUGGUAGAUGUUGAUCUUGUAUAGGGUGCUCCUAAUAUUUCUCAUUUUUCAUUUUUUGGUAGGUGAUGGGAUUUGUCCAUGCAAAAUAUACAAGAGUUUUGGAGAAAAGUACCCAAAAAUGUCCUAAAUUUAUUAUAUUAGUGCCAAUUUGAUCUCAAACUUUUUGAUUCGACCAAUUUAGUCCUUUACAUUUUCACGUUUUCAUCUUAUCAAUUUUGGUCAAAAAUCGCCAACUUGAACAUUUUUAAUAAUUUUUUUUGUUUUUCUUUUCUUUGUUAUUAUUAUUUUUUUCUUUUUUCUUUUUCUUUUUUAUUUUAUUUUUUGUAGCAAGAUUCGCAGCCCUUGCCAAAUUUAGUCAAGGGCUGCCUCGCCCAGGCCACUGCAAGAUUUGGGUAAGGGCAACCUCAACUGGAGCCGGCGAGGCUACAAAGGCCCCUCGCUCAUGGCCCACUAGUCACUAGCCAAGGACCUAUGCCUAGACUUGGCGAGGGCCAUGCCCUCACCCCGUCCCCAGUGACUCUCAUUAGCUAAAAUGAAAAGAAAAGAAAAGAAAAGAAAAGAAAAAUAAAUAAUAAUAAAAUAUAAUAAAUAAAUUUGCAAAAAUCAUUUACGUCAGUAUUGGUUGUGCCACGUAAAACGGACAUAGUCUACGUUAAUGAUUUCUACCCAAAACUGGCAUGUAGAACUCAAUUGACAAAUUCUAAAAAGGUUUAGUAUUAAAUUAGUAUAAUUACAAAGUUUAUGACUAAAUCGAUAUCUAUAUAAUAGAUUGAUGAUUUUUUGGUAUUUUCCCCAUUAGAAAAAGAUGCUUGCUCAUCGCUCCAAUGAUAACUUCAAUUAGGAGUCAUGCUCCUUGUUUAAGGAAUACAUGAAAUGGGUAAUGUGCAUAGUGUGAACUAAUUGAAGCUAUAGUUCAAACACUCAAAAUUUACUAAGGUAUCAACAAAGAAAUACAAUGGUUUGAGUACGAACACUCAAUGGAGGAUUUUUUUUUCUCUCACUAAGUCAUUCUUCUUGUGUUUUUCUCUCUUGAAUACAAUUUGUAAGCGUUGUCGAUGAAGAACAAGUGAUUGGAAAGGCUUCAAACUUUGAAAUUUCAAUUUUCACGAGCUAUCCCAAAUGGACCAAAUGACUUCCUUAAAUACUCCUAUAUGUCUUUCUAACUGUUGGUAUUCUUCAGAGGAAUUUCUUCCAAUCACUCCAUUGGACAAAAUCGAUUAAGGAAAUCUUGUAGCCGUUUGAAAAUUGAGAUGAAAAUCUGAUAAUUCAAAUCGCCCAUACAAUUAGAAUAUAAGUUUCCAUAAAUAGAUACUUUCCAAAAAGGAACUUGUCUUCAAAAUUGAUUUCAUCAAUUCGUGAUUGAUUCCAUCAAUAUAUUUAUAAAAAGUAAGUGAGAUUCUUCGCUAGAAAGCCAUAUAUUAAGGAUGAAUCUCGUACGUACUAAAUCCUUAUCGAAAGAUCAAUAAUCUAAGUCUUUGUUCUGGACUUGAUUUCAGUUUGGAUCUCAUCAGAGUGGGAAAGACUUCUGAAGUAAAAUAGACUUUGAUAACAUUCUACGAUAUAGCACAGAAGUCUAGUAUUCUUUAGAAUAAGAACAAGAAUAAGAAAGUUUUGUCAACUUCAAAACCUGAUAGAAGUUUCCUCAACAAACUUUAGGAUAUUCUCACCCAAUCUUUCUUAACAAGUCUCUAGACUUUAGGAUAUUAUUUCUCAAAGUAUUCUGAGUCUUCACAAUUUAAACAAUUGAGGGCAUUUUGAUCAACAGGUUUUGUAAAGAUCCUUUAAAAAUGCUUAUUAUAUGCAAGUUAAAGAGAGUCGCAAGUCUAGGAGGUCUUUGUCUAAGUCUCUCCUUCACUUUAGGAAAAUCUAUUAGAGAAUCACUUUCCUUAUUGAAAUCAAGUCCUGACUGUUGGAGAAAACUUCCUUGAGUGUUUUGAAGUUGACAAAACGUUUCCAUCAGUCUAGUCUGAAGACUUGCAGACUCUUCCAUCAAAGUCUAAAGACCUCCGGACUGCCAGACUCAAGACUCAAAGUCUAUCCUCAUUGACAGUUUCUAAACCGUUGAAGAAGGCUUAUCCAAAAUGAAGUAUUUCGUUAAUGAUUUGAUUCUGUUGUCUAAAGAAGAUCUCUUGAUUGGAUAUAGCAUGUCGGAAUCCAUUAUUCAAAUCAAGAUUGAUUCAGGGAUUUUGGAUCUGUUGAUUGACGAAGUAUACUUGGAAGGUUCUACUUAUGGAAACCUAGAUCCUGAUUGUAUGGGCGAGCAGGAUUGAUGGGCUAUCGUCAUGUUCCUUAAAUAGCUCGAAAAUCUUCCUAAUUGAUUAUGUCCAACGGGUAGAUUGAAAGAAUUCUUUUGGUAAGUGCCAACGGGUGUGAUGGCAUAAAGGAGUAUAUAAGGAAGACGUUCCAAUUGUUUGAGUGUGUGCGCGAUAGAAAAAUUUCAAAGUCUAAAGCUCUUUGUUCUUAGUCAAUUAAACUACUGAGCGAAAUCUUGUACGCAAAAGAGAGUCUAUAUUUUUUAGAGACUUUGAGGAAGUGUAGUAGAGUCUCUACACUGUGGAAUCAAGGAAGAGCUUUACUGUAACAACUCUUUUGUUCAUAGUGAAAUCUAGCCGGUGGGCUGUCAUUGCGGAAGAGUGGACGUAGCUUGGAUUAAGUCGAACCACUAUAAACUCUGUGUUCAUAUUCUCUUCCCUACGCUCUUUUAUUUUGAUCAUAACUCAAUUUGUUUACAAGAGUCUAAUUUCCUUUUCAUAAUCUAUUGCUGAUUUAAGUUGCAUACUUCACCUUUGGAAAUUUAUUUUUACACCUAUUCACCCCCCUCUAGGUGCUCAUACUAGCUUUCAAUAUUGGUAUCAAAGCCUGUGUACUCACUUAAGUUGAAGUGUUUUACUUCAGAGUUAAAGAUCCAUGGCUAGUAAGUUGGCUCCAGGACUGGUUGAAGGGCAAAGCAAUACCAGAUCGCCUUAUUUUGAUGGGAAGGAAUACAACAUAUGGAAAAACAAGAUGAAGGCAUUCCUAAGAUCAAAGGAUCAUCUGGAAUGGGAUGUGGUAGACAAAUGAAUCAUUCCUAAAGCUGCACCUAUCUUAGAAAGAGGAAAAGAAGCCGUUAAGUCUAGCGAAAUGACUCAAGAAGAGAUAACCAAGAGACAAGCUCUUGAUGCAAAAGUAAUUUAUUAUUUAUAUUGUGCAUUAUCACCUACUGAAUAUAACAGAAUAUCUUCUUGUGUUAUAGCUAAAGAAGUCUGGGAUAGAUUACACAUCACCUAUGAAGGAACUAAUCGAGUGAAAAAAAAAAACCAGAAUCAACAUUCUGCUCGGUCAAUACGAAGCAUUCAAAAUGAAAUCAGGAGAAUCUAUCACUGACAUGUUUAGUCGAUUUACAGAAAUUGUGAAUGGUCUUGAAAAUCAAAGUCAACUAAUUUCUGAUCCUGUGAAAGUUAACAAGCUACUGCAUGGACUCUCCAAGGAUUUGAAUCACAUAAAGACCUCAAUAAGGGAGACAUAAAGAAUUAUGCCACUUUCUGUUGAUGAAUUGGUUGGGACUCUUCAGUCUUAUGAAGUGGAGCGAAUCAACGAAGAUGAAGAUCCUAAAUGUAAGAAAUCCAUUGCAUUAAAAUCUAAUGAUGAUUAUGAUGUCACAGAUUCUGAAGAUGAUAUGGAUGAUGAAGAGCUUGCUCUCAUGAUAAGAAGAUUCAUAAAGCUAAACAUAAAGGGGAGAAGAUUCAAUCCAAAGAAACAAAGUUUUCAAAAGCAACAAUCUAAGACAGUUGAGGAUGAUGAAUCCAAUAAAGAUGUAGUCUGCUUUGAAUGUAAGAAAAAUGGACACAUCAGACCCAAUUGUCCCAUUCUGAGGAAAAAUAAAGGAAAAGUUGAGAAAUAUCGAAAGGCACUUAAAGCAUAAACUUGGAGUGAUACAGAAUGUGAGGAAAGUGAUGAUGAUUAUGCCAAUAUUUGUCUCAUGGCACAAUCAGACUCAGAUUCAGACAGUGAAUUUGAGGUAAGUAAUUUGAAUAUCCCUACUAAAGUCUCUAGAUACAUUGAUGAAUUGGGUUUUAGUCUCAAAACUUCUCUCAAAAGGAUUUCCGAACUCAAAAGAGAAAAUUCCGCACUAAAACAACAGGAAAAUGUUUGGAAAGAAAAGGUCAAAAGUCUAGACAAAAGUGUUACUACUUUGAAAGAAAAUGCAGACAAUCUUUCAAAAGAAAAUGCAUUCUUGAAAAAUGACAUCUCAAAUAUUUUUACAAGAUUUUCUAUAGGAUCUGAGAAACUUGAAAAAUUUCUUUCAGCACAAAGACCUUACUUCAACAAAUUAGGUUUAGGAAUGACUACUUAAACCAUUCCUCUAAUUGAUUUUUCUAAAGUAAAAGAAAGAAUUAAGCAAAGACCUACAAGAGAUGCUUACAAAAAUCAUUUUCAAAAAGUUUUUGUAAAACCAAUAGAUCGCAAUGCUCUUAAAUGUUCUAAGUGCAAUAGCUCAGAUCAUUUUGAGAAAGAAUGUCCUAUGGUUUGGAAACCUGUUAAGAAGGUAUGGGCAAAGACCGUAUAUUACACUAACACCAAUGGACCCAAGAAAUAUGGGUACCAAAGAAAGCUUGAGUCUCUUUUCUAAAUGCAGGUCACUAUCAAGAAAAAGAUUAAAUGGUACCUGGAUAAUGGAUGCUCAAUGCAUAUGACAGGAGAUUCAAAUUGCUUCAUAAAGCUUGUUCAAGUUAAUGGUGGAAAAGUUUCAUUUGGAGGAAACAGCAAAGGAAGAAUUGUGGGAUACGGAACUAUAAAGAUUGGAAGCCUCACGAUCAGUAAUGUUUCCUUAGUGGAAGGACUCAACUACAAUUUGCUAAGUAUCAGUCAGCUGUGCGACAUCGGUUUCAAAAUCAAUUUUCAAGAGGGAAUAUGUUCAGGAACUAGUAAAGACUCCUCUUAAUUUUUCACGGGUCAAAGACAUGGAAAUAUCUACCUCUUGGAUGUCAAACCAAAUGAAACCCAAUAUCUAAUCUCAAUUCAAGAAGAAGCAAACUUAUGGCACAGAAAACUCAGGCAUAUCAACAUGAAGCAAAUAGCAAAAAUUUCGACAAAAAAAGCUUGUUCGUGGUCUACCCAAUCUGUCAUACCAAAAGUCGGAUCUAUGCACACCAUGCGUGUUGGGAAAAUAGGUAAGAAACUCAUUCAAACCAAUAAAUCAAGUUUCCACUAAUCGUGUACUGCAGAGGGUGUAUUGUUUUGGGCAGAGUCCCCUGAAGUAAAGUGUGUGCCUUGUGAAAAACCUCUCCAUGGCUUUCUAAAUUCCUCUUCUUCUCUAGUCUGAUAGGAUCCUUCAAGAAAUGCAGCUUGGAUAGGUUAGAAACGUUUCCAUCCUGGCAUCUCUUAGUGUCUCUAGGCUCUGAACUAAAGGGCUGAGUAGUUUCUUAUUUUACAAAGUUUGCUAAAAAGGUCCAUAAUGAGAAAUGAUAUGUUAUUGCAACUAUACGGACAGACCAUAGAGGUGAAUUUGAAAAUCAAGACUUUACGAAAUUCUGUGAUGAAUCUGGUUUUCAGCAUGUGUUCUCUUCUCCAUAUACUCUAGAGCAAAAUGGAGUCGUGGAAAGAAAGAAUAGGUUGCUUCAAGAAAUUGCUAGAACUCUUUUAAUUGAAAGUAACAUCUCUUCACGUUUUUGGGCUGAAGCAGUUUCUACAUCAUGUUAUAUUAUUAAUAGAGUCUUUCUAAGGCUUAUUCUGGAGAAAACUCCCUACAAGUUAUUCAAAGGAAAGAAGCCCACUCUUUCAUAUUUUCAUAUGUUUGGAUAUAAAUGUUUUAUAUUGAAAAAUGCAAAUGAUCGAGUUGGUAAGUUUGAAGAAAAAUCAGAGGAAGGUAUUUUCCUUGGAUAUUCUAUCACAAGCAAAGCUUACAGAGUUUACACCAAGAAGACUCAAUCUGUGGAGGAAUCAAUGAAUGUCAAAUUUCAAGACUUUAUGCAAAAUGAGUCGAUUCAUACUCAUCUUGAAGAAUCCAAACUUGCUCUAGACUCUACAAAUUCUAAAUCUCCAGAAGCAGCUCAACCUUCAGAAGACGAGCAACAAAUGAUCAACGAAGAUUCAAAUAAGGAAAAAGAUCAACAGUCUGACAAAUCAACCAGCAACUGGAAGCAUAAGUCCAGUCAUCCCAAAGAUCUCAUUAUUAGUGAUAUUAAUGAAGGAAUUCGCACAAGAUCCAAAAGGCGUGAAGAGUCUACUGUUGUGGCUCUUAUUUCUGAAAUAGAACCCAAGAGCAUAGAAGAAGCUUUAACUGAUGAAAGCUAGAUUAAAGCUAUGCAAGAAGAACUCAGGCAAUUUAGCAUUAAUGAUGUCUGGGAAUUGACUCAUAAACUGAAAGGUAAAUCUAUCAUUGGAGCUAAAUGGGUUUUCAGGAAUAAGAUGAACGAGAAAGGAAAGGUCGUAAGAAACAAAGCAAGACUCGUGGCCAAGGGAUAUAUGCAAGAAGAAGGGAUAGACUAUGAUGAGACUUAUGCACCAGUAGCAAUGUUAGAAGCAAUUAGAUUAUUAUUUACUUUUGCUUGUCAUAAGAAUUUCAGGUUAUUCCAAAUGGACGUCAAAAGUGCUUUUCUAAAUGGAUUUAUCCAAGAGGAAGUCUAUGUGGAACAACCACCCGGUUUUGAAGACCCAAGGAAACCAGACUCUGUAUUCAGACUGAAAAAGGCCUUAUAUGAUUUAAAGCAAGCACCUCGAGCUUGGUAUGACAAACUAAGUAAGUUUUUAAUUCAGAACAGUUUUGUCAAAGGUGAAGUAGAUACUACAUUGUUUAUUAAAAGAGAAAGCAAAAAUUGUAUACUUGUUCAAAUUUAUGUUGAUGAUAUUAUUUUUGAAUCUUUUAAUAAAAGUCUGUGAAGAAAUUCUCUAAGUCUAUGCAGGAUGAGUUUGAAAUGAGUAUGAUGGGUGAACUAACCUUCUUUCUCGGGCUUCAAGUGAAACAACUGAAGGAGGGAAUCUUUAUUCAUCAAGAAAAGUAUGCCAAAAAACUUGUCAAAAAGUUUGAUUUGAAAUUGCAAAAAAAGACUGAUAUACCAAUGUCGAGUUCAUGAAGAUAGACAAAGAUGAAGGAGGAAAGAAAGUUGACCAGAAGCUAUACAGGAGUAUCAUUAGUUCACUUCUUUAUCUAACUGCUUCUAGACCUGACAUUUUGUUUAGUGUUUGUAUUUGUGUCAGAUUUCAAUCAGACCCUAAAGAAUCUCAUUUAAGUGCUGCAAAACGUGUCAUCAAAUACAUUACCUCAACUUCAAAUUUGGGUCUCUGGUAUCCUAAAGAAGGAGACUUUACUCUUCUUGGAUACUCAGACGCAGACCUAACUGGAUGCAGAGUUGAUAGAAAGAGCACCACGGGCACCUGUCAACUACUUGGAAGCAGGACAAUGUCUUGGUUUUUAAGGAAGCAAAGUACAGUAGCUCUUUCUACAGCAGAAGCAGAGUAUGUAGCUCUUGGAAGUUGUUGUUCACAAAUUCUGUGGAUAAAACAACAAUUAAGAGACUUUGGAAUUGAAGAUUCAUGCACUAAAAUCAAAUGUGACAACACCAGCGCAAUCAAUCUCACCAAGAAUCCGAUUCUUCAUUCAAGAGCAAAACAUAUAGAGAUUCAACAUCAUUUUAUUAAAGAUCAUGUUCAAAAUGGAGAAUUUUCAAUUCAGUUUAUUGAUUCAAAGAAUCAACUGGCGGAUAUAUUUACAAAGCCUUUGGAGAAAAAUCAAUUUGAAGUUAUUCGUUCCAAACUCAAUAUCUUAAAGUCUGAAGAAGUUCAGACUCAGGACUGAAAGUCUAAAGGCACUCCGAAUCAGACAAUCAAGAUCUACGAUUGUAAGUUAUUUCUAUUUUAGAAACUUAUCUCUCGGAUCAAAUCUUGAAAAGGUACGAUCAUCUAUCCAAAAUUAAUUGGUGUUAUUAUCCCAAUUUUUCGUGAUUAGUGCAAUCCUUCCUUUUCGAAAAAGAAUUUAUUUUUGAAAUGACAGUUAUCUAAUUUUUGAAAAGGCAAUUAUUUUUAAAAGGCAUUUUUUUUAUUAGGGGUGAUCGGUUCCCGGUUUGGUCCGGUUCCAAGGUGGAACCGGGAACCGGACCGGGAGAACCGGUUCCCAAUUUUGGGAACCGUGGACCGGACUGUUUGGUCCUAGGUCCGGGAACCGGACCGGACCAUCGGUUCCGGUCCGGUCCGGUCCGGUCCAACAAAUCGCUAAAGAAAAACCAUGCUCCGGACCGAUCAAUCAAAUUCGGUUCUCGAGCGUUCUAAUAAUACUACUCACACAUGUUUCCAUGCGCCACGUGCAAAAUAUUCACACUUCACUUGUGUGAAUAUCAAUCACAGUUUGUGUGUUUCACGCUUAAUUUUAAGCAUAAAAGCCAUGAACAAUUUGAUUAAAGGUUGUGCUUAGUUUAGGUUUUAUAGACAAUCUUUCUUCUAUGCUUUGAAUGUUUAGUCGAUAUCAGACUCUUUGAGGCUUGAAGUGCCUUGUUGUUUGCAAGUGAGGGGAGCAAGAGAGAGAGAGAGUGAGCACGAGGAACUCCUAGAGCCUUGUCUCACAUCAAGUAGAAAAUGAAACUAACAAGUAAGUUUUCUCUAUAAAUAAAGAGUAACGACAAAGCUUUGGUGGUCUCUUGGCCACAUAGAAGAUUGUUACCUCAAUUGCAAUUGUAAUUGCAAUAAGUUUCAUAUAUAAUAUUCAUAUAUUAUAUGUGUUUAUAUAUUAUAUGUAUAUAAAUUAUAUAUAUAAAAAAUUGGUCCAGUCCGGUCGGUCCGGUUCCCACCUUGGAACUGGGAACCGGACCGCCGACCAUGGGAACCGCCCAAAACCGGCCGGUCCGGUCCGGUCCGGUCCGGUCCAGUCCCGGUUUGGGCGGUUUCCGUUGCACACCCCUAUUUUUUAUAUUUUCUUUUUACAGCGUUUCGUAUGCCUCGCUUCGACUGCCUUAUAUACUGUCGGUUCUUCUUCGUUUUACUCACAAAAAUCCUAAGAGAGUACCGAUCUUCCACUUCUGUCUUCUUCUCUUGUUUAAUCCUUGAAAAUUUUUCAUCUUUCUUGGGAAACAAGCUUGGAAUCUCUCAAAGACUGUGAAAGAUGUUGUCCCAAAGAAAGUCUUCGAGGAUCGCGAACAGGGGACCACAACAAAUGCGUGAGGGGCCUACGCACUUCGAUCUCACCAAGGAAGAAGAAUCUACUAGACAGCAGUAGAGCCCACAACAUUUUCAACAGUGUCCAUCUCCUCCAUCUAGACCUCAGGAUGUUGCACAUCAAGAAAAGGAAGAAAUCAUUGAAGACGCAGAACCUGUAAGAACUCAUAAGCCCGCUUUUACCUAUAAGCUUUAUCGUGCUUUAAAGAGGAGUGGUACUCCGUUGAACUUCAUUGAUGAAAUUCUUAAAGACAAAUGGUAUAGAAUUGAAACUUUCUUUUUACACAUAAUGGAACGAUUGGGAAUUGCCCCUACUGGGUCGGCGGAAGAGGCAUUGGCAAAUAUCCCAAGCGAUCCACGUGUUGGAGGGCUGAGUCAACCAGAUGGGAAUGACGAUGAUAGGAUGUACAGUCAGUUUAAACCUAGAAUGGGUGUUGCAGCAAAAAUCCGAAGCAAAAGGAAGGAUUUGUUUCGAUCGGAGGAACACGAGCAACUGUACUCUAAGUUGCUGAAGCGUGGGGUGAUAAACCUUAGAAGUGUGGACUUUGAUUUUCUCAACUCUGUGAAUGUCAAUCUGCGGGAAAAAUUCAGUCUUCUUCAACUCGAAUAGUUUUGUUUUGAAACUACAGAAGCUCAUGCUGAACUUACUGCUUAUUUCUAUUCGAAUCUCAGUUUCUUGGAUGCGAAUAGAUUCUCUUUUAGUGUUCGAGAUCAGGACUAUGUGGUUGACAUGAAUACAUUGGCUGAUGUGAUUGGGGUUGAAAGAGGGAGAUAUCAACCUAUUAGUGUGUUUGUUGCUCAUGCAACGAUCGAGCUUGUUAAUGAUAGAACAACGGAAGGGAAGAUUUCCUAUUUAAGGAUGAAUGCAUCCAACAUUUUGCUUCACAAGAUUGUGAUUAACUGCCUUAGACCAAAAUCUAUUUCAAAGACCGACGUUUCAAACUCGGAGGCAAAGCUGAUUUAUGCCAUCAAUGCUGGGAAAAAGUUCUCUCUUCCACACACUAUUAUGUUCCACAUGUACAGAACAAUGGUGAAGGACAAGGGUCAACUUCCAUAUGCAGCUCUUGUGACCAAGUUAUUCAGACAUUUGAAUGUUCAGCCUCCCCGAAUUCUCUGUGUUCGAACAUGCGAUCAAAUGGUGGUGGGACUAAAAAUGAUCUCUAAAAUGCGUUUGAAGGAACUUAACAAAGAUUUGGAGCAGUUCAAAGUGAAAACCCCUGUCAAACUCAUUCAAUCUCUUCGACGGCAAAGUAAAAAGGGAAGGAGCCCAUGGUUGCUCCAUCCAAGAGAAGAAAAGCUCUCAUCACUGAGGAUGAAGAGGAUGAGGAUGAUAUCACCAUUUUUGCGAUGCCAUUGAAGAACUUGAGUCAUUCUGUUCCAGAAACAACGGAGAGACAGGAAAAAGACAAGGAUGAGACAGAACAGAGGACUGGAGAGAGAGAAGAUUUGGAAGCAGAGGAGAGAGAUGCAGAGGAGGAAAGAAUUGAGGAAGAAGAAGAAGAGGAGAGAGGAGAUCAAGCGGAAGCAGAGCAUGAGGAACAUUUUUCUCCACCUGAAGGCAUGGAAACAGGGGGAGAUCUUGAGAAAAGAGGAACGUCCUCAUUCCCUGCCACCAGUGAAGGAGUAAGUCGUUCUCCAGCAGAUCCAGAGGACAUCUAUGCCUCUCAAUUUCCUGAGGAGGGACAUGAUGUUUCAUCGCCCAAUUUGCGUGACCAUGCUGAUUUGCCAUCAUCUGCCUAUACACCGUCUGAUCGUGCAGAAGUCGGUACUCAGACUGAUAAUUCAGCAGACUUUCGCAGAAUACUUGAUGUUCUUUUGGAGAUGCGAGGUAAAAUAUAUGCUCUAGGAUGCGAAGUACAGAACUUGCAAAAUGCAGGUCAAACCUCUUCAGUUUCUUUGUAUGAUCAAAUCCAUGUCCUUGCUCUUCAAGUUCAAGCAAAUGCCAAGGGUGAAAAUGUGGCACAACUAAAGGAGGAUUUGAAAAAGCUGGAAGGGAUUGUCCAGUCAAUGGGAGAUUUCCAGCUUGUUCGUGUUCCCAAGCAGUCUUGAUUCCAUUCUAUUUUCAUCUCUACCUUUUUAUUGAUGACAAAAAUGGGGAGAGAUGUGGUGCAAAUUUGAUUUUGAACUUUGAACUUUGAACUCACUUUUUGAACUUUUGUAUUGAUUAUGUUUGAUUGACUUGACUUUUGUGUUUGGCUGUUUGGAUUUGGAUUUGACUGUUUGAACGUUUGUUUAUCUUAAGUACUACUGAUAUCUCAUGGCUUUGUUCAUUUACAGAACUAACCUACCUUCUGUGGAUGCAUAUUCUAGUGUUAUUUUUACUAAGCCAUUUAUCUUUGUGAGAUAUGCAUAUUUGCUUGAGUAAUGUUUUACAGGUCAAAAUUAUCCAAAUCUGCAGGAAAGUUUUGUCAUCAUAAAAAAUGGGGAGAUUGUUGGAGAAAACUUCCUUGAGUGUUUUGAAGUUGACAAAACGUUUCCAUCAGUCUAGUUUGAAGACUUGCGGACUCUUCCAUCAAAGUCUAAAGACCUCCGGACUGCUAGACCCAAGACUCAAAGUCUAUCCUCAUUGACAGUUUCUAAACCGUUGAAGAAAGCUUAUCCUAAACGAAGUAUUUUGUUAAGGAUUUGAUUCUGUCGUCUAAAGAAAAUCUCUUGGCUGGAUAUAGCAUGUCGGAAUCCAUUAUUCAAAUCAAGAUUGAUUCAGGGAUUUUGGAUUCGUUGAUUGACGAAGUAUACUUGGAAUGUGCUACUUAUGAAAACCUAGAUCCUGAUUGUAUGGGUGAGAAGGAUUGAUGGGCUAUCGUCAUGUUCCUUAAAUAGCUCGAAAAUCUUCCUAAUUGAUUCUGUCCAACGGGUAGAUUGGAAGAAUUCCUUUGGUAAGUGCCAACGGGUGUGAUGGCAUAAAGGAGUAUAUAAGGAAGACGUUCCAGUUGUUCGAGUGUGUGCGCGAUAGAAAAAUUCCAAAGUCUGAAGCUCCUUGUUCUUAGUCAAUUAAACUGUUGAAUGAAAUCUUGUACGCAAAAGAGAGUCUAUAUCUUUGAGAGACCUUGAGGAAGUGUAGUAGAGUUUCUACACUGUAGAAUCAAGGAAGAGCUUUACUGUAACAACUCUUUUGUUCAUAGUGAAAUCUAGCCGGUGGGCUGUUAGUGUGAAAGAGUGGACGUAGGCUUGGAUUAAGCCGAACCACUAUAAACUAUGUGUUCAUAUUCUCUUCCCUACGCUCUUUGAUUUUGAUCAUAACUCAAUUUAAGUUGCACACUUCACCUUUAGAAAUUUAUUUUUACACCUAUUCACCCAUCUCUAGGUGCUCAUACUAGCUUUCACAUCGACUUGUUAUAGUAAGGUACUUGUAUAAAAAUGAUAUGCUCUAAUAUUUUUGAACCCUUCGAAAAUUUUGUUGAAAUAUUUGAAAAUUCUUUCUUUAAAGAAUCAUUUUCUUUGACAAGUAAAUCUCAACUUUCUUUCGUUUGUAGAAAAUCUUUUUGCAAAAUUUCAAACAUUUCUUUUCGAGAAAGAUCAUGUUGCCUAAGCCAUGAAUUUUCCUUUUUAGUUUGGAGAUCUUUUUAAGAGAAGAUUUGAGAUUUAAACAAAACUCAUUUGUAUACUUAGAAACUUAAUAGGAAUGUCUAAAUGAUUUACCUCGAUUUCCUUGUCAAAUUCUCAAUUUUUUGAGGAAAGUGGAAUAAUUUUUUUUGAAUUUUGCUUACCUCGAUUUCCUCAUCGGAUUCUGAGUCUGUAUCCGAGUCAGACUUUGAUUCUAAGUCUGUGUCUGAGUCAGACUCUGAUUCUGAGUCUGUGUCUGAGUCAGACUCAGAUUCUGAAUGUGCCAUCAUGCAUAAAUUUCCUUGCUCAUCAUCUUCUUUCAUUGUUCUUUUCUGGCCAUUCUGCUUGUAUUGUCUUCUUUCACUAAACUUCAUUCCUUUUCUACUCAACCUUUUGAAUUUCUUGAUCAUAAAAGCAAGUUCUUGGUCGUCCAUGUCAUUUUCCGAGUUUGUAUCAUUAGAAUUAGCGUUAGAUUUAAGUGCAAUUGACUUCUUACCUUCGGGAUCUCCAUCAUUAAUUUGUUCCACUUCAUAGGAUUGAAGAGUUCCAAUGAGUUCAUCAACAGAAAGUGGUAUAAUCCUCUGAGUCUCCCGGAUUGAGGUCUUAACAUGGUUCCACUCUUUUGAGAGACCUCGCAAAAGUUUGUUGACCUUCAUUGGGGUAGAAAUUGGAUGACCUUGAGACGUCAAACCAUUUACAAAUUUCUGUAAAACGGCUGAACAUAUCUCCAAUUGACUCUUUUGACUUCAUCUUGCAGGAUCCAUAUUGGCUAAGCGGGAAGUUCACUUUUGUCUCUUUUACACGACCAAUCCCUUCAUAAGUAACAAGAAGUCUAUCCCAAACUUUUUUAGCUAUUUUAGAUGAAGAGAUUCUAUUAUACUCAGUAUGAGACAAGACACAAUAUAAAGAAUAAAUAGAUUUUACAUCAAGAGCUUCUCUUUUGGAUAUCUCCUUCUGAGGCAUAAGAGUAGGGGGUUUCGUUUCUUUGUCUUUGCCAUUCUUAUUUGAUGCAGACGUAGUUGUGGGAUUGAUUUCUUUUUCCACAACAUCCCAUUGCAAGAGAUCUCUAGAUCUUAGGAAUACCUUCAUUUUGUUUUUUCAAAUGUUGUAUUCCUUUCCAUCAAAAUUGGGUGGCCUGGUGUUGCUUUGCCCUUCAACCAGCCAUGGUGUCAAGAUACUAGCCAUAGAAGAUCUUUAGCUAAAAAGAAGAAAAACUUUAAUAAAACAAGUGUUAGGGAAAUCCCUUAUGAUGUUUUGAAGAUGACAAAAUAAAUCAAAGGCUACUAACAUGUUUAAUGGUUGAGUAAUAGACCAUGCAGAUAAUAGAACAUGUAAAGGAUAUUAUCAAAGUCAGAAGACGACCAGAAGACUGAACGUAACAUAUGUCUAGAGUAUAUUCUGAAGAUUUCCAGACUUCUGUGUCAAAGUCUGAAGACUGCCGUGUCAAAGUCUGAAGACUGCCAGACUUUAGUGUCAAAGUCUGUUCUACAUCAGAAGUCUGCUCACUCUGACAAAUUCCAGACUGAACGUGAAUGAUGAACCAGAAGACAGACUCUAUGCCGAAGCUGAACUGGGUACAUACCUUAAAGCUAAAUCUGUUCAGAAGCAGAUAUGUUCAGACCCAGAUUGUAAAGUCUACAAACUCAGAUUGUAAAGUCUAUUGCUCUCAGACUUUACAUCCAGAUUCGAUGAAUCGUAACUCAAGCCCAAUCAUAUAACGGCUAGUGAUCUGGUUUGGAUUCCACAUCAAGAUUGAUUUGAUUGAUUCAAUCUAUUUGAUUGACAAUUGGAUCUUGAAGACAAGAUCUUUCUAUACGAAGAAGCUUUACUUAUGGAAACCAAGAUUCCGUUUGUAUGGGCGAUCGGAAUCAAUUUGGGAUUUUACCUUUGUCACUCAACGGCUACCAAAUCUUCUAGAUACAGAGCUGUCCAAUGGGUAUAUUGGAAGACGAUUCUCCGGGAUACUGUCCAACGGGUAGUUUGGAAGUGGAGGAGUAUUUAAGGAGAUCAUGGACCGAUGAGCAAGUAAGAGACGGAGCGUAGAAUUUAUAAUUCCAAAGUCUGAGCGACUUUCGAUCAUAUACUUGUCUCUUGAGAGCUUAAACGUUUGUAAUCGUGAGAGAAAUACCAAAAGAGUGACUUAGUGAGAUAGUGUGAUCUACUACUAAGUGUUUGCACUCGAAGUUGUAAUCUCUUGUUGAUUGCAUAGUGGAAUCCAGCCAAGAAGGCUAUUAGCGUGGGAGAGUGGACGUAGGCUUGGAUUAAGCCGAACCACUAUAAAUCUUGUGUUCUUAUUCUCUUCCCUAACUCCUUUAUUUUGUUCAUACUAGCACUCACAAUUGGUAUCAGAGCCAAGUGCUCGGUUUAUAAAAGUGUUUUUACUUUUGAGUUAAAGAUUCUUUAUGGCUAGUAUGUUGGCACCAGGACUUAUGGAAGGGAAAAGCAACACAAGGCCACCAUAUUUUGAUGGAAAGGAAUACGAUGUAUGGAAGAAUAAAAUGAAAGCAUUCCUAAGAUCCAGAGAUCUCUUACAAUGGGAUGUUGUGGAAAGAGGAAUCAACCCCAUUGCUGCGUCUACAUCAAAUAAGAAUGGCAAAGACAAAGAAACCAAACCCCCCGCUCUUAUGUCUCCGACGGAGUUGUCCAAAAGAGAAGCGCUUGAUGCAAAAGCUAUUUAUUCUUUAUAUUGCACUUUGUCUCUUAUUGAAUAUAACAGAAUCUCUUCAUGUGAAACAGCAAAAGAAGUUUGGGAUAGACUUCAUGUUACAUAUGAAGGGACCGAUCGUGUAAAAUAGACAAAAGUAAACUUCUUGCUCGGCAAAUAUGAAUUCUUCAAGAUGAAGCAAGGAGAGUCGAUUGGAGAUAUGUUUAAUCGUUUUACAGAAAUUGUAAACGGUUUGGCAUAUCAAGGUCAUCCAAUUUCUUCCCCAAUGAAGGUCAACAAACUCUUGCGAGGUCUCUCAAAAGAUUGGAACCAUGUCAAGACCUCAAUCCGGGAGACUCAAAGGAUUAUGCCACUCACUGUUGAUGAAUUGAUCGGCACUCUUCAAUCCUAUGAAGUGGAGCAACUUAACGAUGAAGAUCCCGAAGGUAAGAAGUCCAUUGCUUUAAUAUCUAAUGCUGUUUUUGAUGAAACAGACUCAAAAAAUGACAUGGACGAUGAAGAACUUGCCUUUAUGGUCAAGAAAUUCAAAAAGUUGAGUAGAAAAGGAAGGAAAUUCGAUGGAAGAAAAUACAAGCAGAAUGGCCAGAAAAGAACAAAAAAAGAAGAUGAUGAGCAAGAAAAUUUAUGCUUGAUGGCACAUUCAGAAUCUGAGUCUGACUCAGACACAGACUCAGAAUCAGAGUCUGACUUAGACACAGACUCAGAAUCCGAUGAGGAAAUCGAGGAAAUAAAAGAAAAGAAGAAGUUGGUAAGGAAUGUUUUUGGGCACAUAAUUCUCAUUAUGCUUGAAAUUCGAUAUAUCAUUGAUUGAUUCAGAUUUUAUAAUGAUCAUAUUUUGUUUUAUUGAAGAAAGAAUCGCAUGAUUUGUUUUUGUGAUUCGAAAUUUAAUUUGAUACGUGUGAUCAUUUUUGAUAUCAUGCUUAAAGACAAAAUGAACUUAUUUUGGUUUGAUUUUAUACUCUCAGAUUUUAUCAUAUUUUGCCAAAUAAAAAUCUGUUUUACGUGAUAUUAAUUUAUGAUGCAAGAUAUUAUUGUGCAUAAUAUUCUUUCUUUGAAUACUUUGUUAUGAUGAAUUAAGAAAGAAUAUUUGGAGAUUAUAUAUUUUGCUCUAACGUCAUGGAAGGAUCCAAAUUGAUGGAUACCAAAAAGGGAAAUGAGUUGAUUGCAGGAAAUUCUUUAAGGGAAGGAUGAUUGCGAUUCUACGCAAAUUUUGGUGCAAUCAGAAAAUAUCUCCUGCAACAAUUGGUAAUGAUUUUUUUUAAUCAAUGGUAUAUUUGAAACAUAUACCCGGGUAAGAGAAAUUUUUUCAUCCCGCCUUACAAAUUUCUACGUGCAUUUAUCAUGAUUUUGGAUGAUUGUUUAUUAUAUUGCAAAUAUCUUCUGUCAUAAAUAUAAUGUAUUGCAAUUUUGGCACGUGACAGAAAUAUCUAUUUUCCUUUUGCAAAAUGCAUAUCUGAAAUUUAUGCUCAAGGAAAUAUCUUUGAUCUUGAAAGAUAUGAUUGCAUAUUUAUGGAUAUUCGUGCUAUAUUCUUAGAAUAUAUAUUCUAUCUAGCAAGUUUGAUCCGCAAAUCGAAGGAAAAUAUUACGUGACAUUUUUGCAAAGAUGAUUAUCUAUUAUACAAGAAUUUGCAGGUAUCAAUAAAAUCUUCCAUAUGGAUUUUGGAAAACUCGAUCAGAAAACAAUGAAGAUUCUAUUCUAUCUUCUGGAGGUUCAAAGAUUCCAUUCCUUAUGCAAAAUUUUUGCAAAUUGUUGAGGAAAUCCCUUAUGUGUCGUACGGAAGGUUGAAUAGUUCUGAAUUUUAAUAUCUGAUAAUUUUAUAUAUGCUAUUCAAUUUAUCUAUUUGAAGAAAAGGGUAUUAUAUUUCACGUGGAUAUUAUUACAGCUUAUUUGUGCAAAAAGUUUGUUAAGUUGAUGCAGGUUGAAUUCGAGAUGAGCUUGAUUGAAGAAAAUAAUUUUUUGCCUCAAAUUUCAAAAUGCAAGUGAUCGUUGCAGAUGUUGUUGCUACAAAGGAAAUACUGGAAAAAUAUUCCGUUCAACGUGCACAAGCAACAAUUAUUUCUAUUCGCAAAUAUUGUCAUGAUCACAGGGGGAGAAAACAAAUCCAAGAAAAAGGAAAUAAUCGUGAUCAUCUCAAAUUGAGGGGGAGCCUUGAUCAAUUAUGGAAAAAUCUUUUUGGAUUGAUCGUGAUCUUAUUAUGGAUGGAAGGAAAGGUAAAUGUGUCAGAAUUUAUUCUAAAAAAUCCUGUUAGUGUAUCUUUUAUUACCUUUUGUCAUUAACAAAUCUCUUAUUGAUAUUAUCAUUUUAUUAUGACAAAAAGGGCACGUGAGUUUCAUGAUGCAUCCGUGAUUUUUAUUGAAUAUUUGCUGAUAUAUAUGAUCGAAGUGAGCUAUAUUGCAUAUCUUCAAUAUUCGAUUUACUUUAUAAAAGCUGAUUUUUAGAAAUUAUGCAAGACAUAUUUAUUAUCAUUCUCUACGUGACUCCAUUAUUAUCGCUUUUUGAUUAUGACAAAAAGGGGAGAGAUAUGAAUAUGUAUAUGUGCUGAUUGGNNNNNNNNNNNNNNNNNNNNNNNNNNNNNNNNNNNNNNNNNNNNNNNNNNNNNNNNNNNNNNNNNNNNNNNNNNNNNNNNNNNNNNNNNNNNNNNNNNNNNNNNNNNNNNNNNNNNNNNNNNNNNNNNNNNNNNNNNNNNNNNNNNNNNNNNNNNNNNNNNNNNNNNNNNNNNNNNNNNNNNNNNNNNNNNNNNNNNNNNNNNNNNNNNNNNNNNNNNNNNNNNNNNNNNNNNNNNNNNNNNNNNNNNNNNNNNNNNNNNNNNNNNNNNNNNNNNNNNNNNNNNNNNNNNNNNNNNNNNNNNNNNNNNNNNNNNNNNNNNNNNNNNNNNNNNNNNNNNNNNNNNNNNNNNNNNNNNNNNNNNNNNNNNNNNNNNNNNNNNNNNNNNNNNNNNNNNNNNNNNNNNNNNNNNNNNNNNNNNNNNNNNNNNNNNCAUCAGAAGUCUGCUCACUCUGACAAAUCCAGACUGACGUGAAUGAUGCCAGAAGACAGACUCUAUGCCGAAGCUGAACUGGGUACAUACCUUAAAGCUAAAUCUGUUCAGAAGCAGAUAUGUUCAGACCCAGAUUGUAAAGUCUACAAACUCAGAUUGUAAAGUCUAUUGCUCUCAGACUUUACAUCCAGAUUCGAUGAAUCGUAACUCAAGCCCAAUCAUAUAACGGCUAGUGAUCUGGUUUGGAUUCCACAUCAAGAUUGAUUUGAUUGAUUCAAUCUAUUUGAUUGACAAUUGGAUCUUGAAGACAAGAUCUUUCUAUACGAAGAAGCUUUACUUAUGGAAACCAAGAUUCCGUUUGUAUGGGCGAUCGGAAUCAAUUUGGGAUUUUACCUUUGUCACUCAACGGCUACCAAAUCUUCUAGAUACAGAGCUGUCCAAUGGGUAUAUUGGAAGACGAUUCUCCGGGAUACUGUCCAACGGGUAGUUUGGAAGUGGAGGAGUAUUUAAGGAGAUCAUGGACCGAUGAGCAAGUAAGAGACGGAGCGUAGAAUUUAUAAUUCCAAAGUCUGAGCGACUUUCGAUCAUAUACUUGUCUCUUGAGAGCUUAAACGUUUGUAAUCGUGAGAGAAAUACCAAAAGAGUGACUUAGUGAGAUAGUGUGAUCUACUACUAAGUGUUUGCACUCGAAGUUGUAAUCUCUUGUUGAUUGCAUAGUGGAAUCCAGCCAAGAAGGCUGUUAGCGUGGGAGAGUGGACGUAGGCUUGGAUUAAGCCGAACCACUAUAAAUCUUGUGUUCUUAUUCUCUUCCCUAACUCCUUUAUUUUGUUCAUACUAGCACUCACAACAAGCACUUGGCUUUGAUAUCAAUUGAAAAUGCUACUACUAUCACCUAGAGGGGGUGAAUAGGUGUUUAAAAUAAACCUUGACAAAUAAAUGCAGAAUAAAAUAAGUUGCGAGCAGAGUUUGAAAAAGGAUUAGAGUAUGAUUAAACGAGCUACCAGACUUUUAGUAGAUGUUAAAAAUCUGUUAUGCGAUGGAACAACAAUCUGAAAUAACCUAUAAGUAUACAACAUACUUAAAUAAGAAGAGUUAAGAGAAGAUAAUGUUGCAGACGAAAUUUAUAGUGGUUCGGCUUAGAUCUAGUCUACAUCCACUCUUUUAUACUAACAGCCUUCUGGCUGGAUUCCAUUAUAUGAUUAAUAAGAUAUUACAACUUUGAGUGCAAACACUUAGUGAUAUAUUACACGAUCUCACUAAGUCACUCUUUUGGUAUUUCUCUCACGAUCACAAACAUUUAAGCUCACAAAAGUGUAUGAUCGAAAUUCGCUCAAACUUUGGAAUUAUAGAUUUUACGCUCCGUCUCUUACUUGCUCUUCGGUCCUUGGUCUCCUUAAAUACUCCUCCACUUCUAAACUAACUGUUGGAUAUUAUCUAGAAGAUUGUCUUUCAAUCUACCUAUUGGAGAGAUAUGUAUCAAUAAGAUUUACUGGCUAUUGAGUGACAAAAGCAUAAUCCCAAGUUGAUUAUGAUCGCCCAUACGAACAGAAUCUUGAUUUCGAUAAGUAGAGUUUCUUCGUUUAGAAAGUUCUUGUUUUCAAUAUCCAAUUGUUAAUCAAUUAGAUUGAGUCAAUCAAUUCUAUCUUGAUGUAGAAUCCAAACCAGAUCACUAGCCGUUAUAUGCUUGGGCCUGUGUUAUGUUCUGUCAAGUUGUCUCGUUCUAAACAUGUUUCGUUCUGAAUCUGCUACGUUCUGAACUUGUGUCUCAUUCUGGACCUUGUCACGUUCUGGACAUAUGUCUCAUUCUUGAUGGAAAGUCUAAGAAUGUUUUGUCUAAAGUAAAGUUUGAGUGUCUUCUGUCUGAAGUAGAGUCUGAGUGUUUUCUAUCUGAAAUAUACUUUACAAUCUGCAUGUAAGUCUGAAGAUAUUCUGCUUCUGAAUAUAUUUAGCCUUAAGGUCUAGACAUAAUCUGAAUAAGUUCAAUUUCAACAUAGAGUCUAUCUUCUAGUUCUUUCAAGUAUAGACUUUAAUAAUAUCCUUUACAUAUUCUAUCAUCUACAUAGUCUAUUCUCAACCAUUAAACCCAUUAGUAGCCUUUGAUUUAUUUUAUCAUCUUCAAAACAUCAUAAGGGAUUUCCCUAACAAUAGCAAGGAGUUCAAGCAAUUUGUGCAGAUAAUGGAAUCAUAAUGACAAGAACUGUUCCCAAUAAACCGCAGCAAAAUGGAGUUGCUGAAAGGAUGAAUAGAAUUCUGAAUGAGUGCGCAUGUAGGAUUACCCAAGAUGUUUUGGGCGGAUACAAUUAACAAAGCAACAUAUUUGAUUAAUAGAGAACCUUCAGUUUCACUUGAUUUUAAGCUACUAGAAGAAGAACGGAGUGGAAAGAAGGUAAAUCUCUAGCAUCUAAAAGUUUUUGGUUGUGUUUCGUAUGUUCACAUAGAUUCUAAAAAUAAAGAUAAGUUUGAUGCAACAGCUAAAAAAUGUUUUUUCAUUGGAUAUGGUUCUGAUUAUUUUGGUUAUCAAUUUUGAGAUGAACAAAAUAGAAAAAUAAUAAGAACUGAUGAUUUUACAUUCAAUGAAAACAUAUUGUAUAACAAUCAAUGAAUAGCAGAAUCUAGUGUGAAGAAACAAACGGUGGAGAAUACAAAGAUUGGAUUAGAAGAGGUUUCUAAGAGCUUUUUUAGUUGAGAUUCCUAAAAUUGUUACUAUCAACUUUGGUAAAAUACCAGAACAUGAAUUACAUACGCUUGAACCCACUUUGAGAAAAUUUAGUAAAACACUUAAACCUGUACAAAGAUGUUCUCCGUCAUUGCAUUAUUUGCUUUUGAUUGACGCUAGAGAACCAGAAUUUUUUUGGAAGCAGUGUAGGUUAAAGAUUUAGCUAAGUGGGAGUUAGCAAUGCAUGAUAAGUUAGAUUCACUCGAGAAAAACAUAACUUAGGUGUUCACACAAUUACCAAAUGGGAAGAAAGUAUUGCAAAACAAGUGGGUGUAUCGGUUCAAAAAAGAACCCGAUGGCAACAAUAGGUACAAAACAAGGCUAAUAGUAAAAGGUUUUCAACAAAAUGAAGAAAUUGAUUGCACAAAGAUCUUUUUUCCAGUUGUGAAAUUGACUAUUACCAGGUUAAUAUUGAGUAUUGUUGCAGCUAAGAAUUUAUAUCUGAAGCAGUUAGAUGUUAAGACUGCAUUCCUCUAUGGUUAUUUGGAGGAGGAUAUUUACAUGAUACAACCAUAAGGUUUUCAAGUUCUUGGAAAAGAAAAUUAUGUCUACAAAUUGAAGAAAAAUCUACAUGACUUGAAAUAGGCUCCUAGAUAGUGGUAUAAGAAAUUUGACACUUUUAUGUGGGGUAACGGGUUCACUAGACGUGAAAUGGAUCAUUGCUGUUACUUCAAGAAAUUUGGUGACUGCUAUAUUAUUUUGCUAUUGUAUAUGGAAGAUAUGCUCAUCUCAGAAUCUAUCAUGAGAGAGGUCAACAUAUUGAAGUAGCAAUUAUCAAAAGAGUUUGAGAUGAAGGACUUGGGCAUAGUGAAUCAGAUUCUUAGGAUGAGGAUCACGCGGAAUAGAUCGUAGAAUAGAUCCAAAGGAAUUCUAAAAUUAUCUCAAGAUAAGUACAUUUAAAAAAUGUUAGACAAAUUUAGUACUCCUUUAGAAAGUCACUUCAACCUCUCAAAGAAACAGUUACCGCAAACAGAUGAAGAGUAGGAGUAUAUGUCUAAGGUGCCUUAUAUAUCAGCUAUUGGCAGUUUAAUGUAUCUUAUGGUAUGUACUUCACUAGACAUAGCUCAUGUAGCGGAAGUUGUGAGCAAAUAUAUCGCAAAUUUAUGAAUAAAGUAUUGGGAAGCUGUAAAGUGAUUAUUAAGAUACCUAAAAGACACUUCAUAUAUUAAGUUUUAUGAAAAACAAUGUAACUUUACAAGUCUUUGUUGAUACAGAUUUUGGUGGUGACUUGGAUAAUAGGAAGAGCACCUCGAGUUAUGUUUUUACCUUAAGUGGCACUACAAUCAAUUGGAUGUCUAAACUUCAGACCUGUGUGUCUCUCUCAACUAUUGAGGUAGAGUAGGUUGCUAUAUCUGAAGCUAGUAAGGAGAUGAUUUGGUUGAAAUUUUUUUUUGAAGGAGAUAGACAAUGAGUGGGAUGAUAGUGUUAUUUUCAGUGACAGUCAAAGUGCUAUUUGUCUUGCAAAAAUUCCAUUAUUUCAUUCAAAGACAAAACACAUAGAGUUAAAAUAUCAUCAAAUUUGUCAGUUGAUAGCUAAUGGGACUUUGUCAUUGAAGAAGAUUCUUGAUGCAAAAGAUCCAGUAGAUAUGUUAAUAAAGGUUGUCACCAUUGAAAAAUUAAGACCGUGCAUUACUUCAAUUGGCCUCUAUGGUAAGUGAUGAAGGCGGUCGCCGCACUAGAAUAAUUUGGGCUACAAAGAUAAAGACUAUGAAAGGUUAUUGCUUUUUUUUUUUUUUCUUUUUAAGAUCAGCCUCCAAGUGGGAGAUUGAUGGAGUUGGGGGAGUCUGAUAAAGGAAAAUAAUAUUCAAGUACAAAGCAGUUUAUUUUAGGCAAUUACCAAUCAUGUAAUGUUAAAGCAAUCAAUAGGGCUUUUAUUGCUGCUAAUGGCAUAUAUGUAAUUUCCAUAUUAAUUAUGUAUGCCCUAGACUCCUAUUAUAUAUAUAGGGGUAAUAUCUUUUUUAGUUGUAACACUGAAGCUUGUAAAAUUAUCACUUGUUUUCUUCUCUAUUUUUUCUCUUCAUAUAUUCGCAUUCCCAACAAUUAAGUCCCUCAACUUUUGUAUGUGUGCAAUAUAAGUCCCAAACUUUCAAUUGGUAAUAUCAAAUCCCUCUACAAUUUUAGUAAAAUGACAUGGGAAGGUGCGAAGCCUGAUUGACCUAAUGAAUAUUGCCAUAUUACCCAUUCAAGAGAUUCAACAGUUGGGCUGGAGCUUGGAAUGGGGUUCCGCAAGAAAUUAGGCUAAGAUCCAAAGAUUUCCAAUUUGUUAACAAUAAUGUGGUGUCUUAAGAACUCAAGGGCAAACCUAGCAAACCUAGCUUACUUAAACAUCUUAGUAGCUAGGCAGUCGUUGUUUGAUGCUAUCUAGUUCUGCCUAUCCGAAAAUACAUCUAUAGGCGCUUGCUAGCCCCCUACCAGUUAUUGUAUGAGAUCUACUCAAUGCUAGAUGCAGAGGCGCAUAAUAGAUCGAUAUGAACAUCAUGAGCUGUCCCGCACUAAAACGCGUUGGAAAUCACCUAUCCAAUCUCUUUUUCUUUUUUGAUCCAGUGGGCCUUCUUGCAUGGACUUGGGCAUGCUAUGAUGAUGGGUAGUCUUGUUGUGCUUUGGCCCUUCUGUGGGCUUUCACUUAAGAAAGCGGGCUUGACAAGCCUAGAGGGAAAUAGUAAUCAUGGCUACUAAUAAAAUAAGACUCAAAACCAAAAACUAGACAAAGUAGUAGGUAUAAAGUAAAUUGCUCAAUAUUUCCAAAUUAGUUAAACUUCGUCGGAGAUAUGACAACUCUUCUUUUUUAUAGUAAAAUAGAGUAUAGAAAUAGUAAAUUCAUCCCUCCUUUUCAUCUACUGUGAAUGCUACCACUGCUUGAGUACUCUCGCUCUUGCUUAUCUUGCUGCAACAAAGCAAGCUUAGGAAUGAAUUGAAUGGAAAGUCUUUGUCCCCACCUACCAAUUGUAGAAGUAGGAUCUUUGGCAAGCAAUAAGCACUUAAAUAAUACAAUGCUGGCUCAUCUCCUUUUUGUGAAACUAUUCCUCAAGCAAGACAGCCGAUAAGUCAUCGAAGGGUUUGUGUGAAUAAUAGAAUGGUAAGCAUUGCUCAUUUGAAAGUGUCCACGGUGAUCUAAUAUCUUUAUAAGAAAAUGACGCAAGAAUCCGCGGUGAAGAAAUAAGGAGAUCUUUCUAUAUUGAAAUAGCAGUUGAUAAAAUCAUAGGCAAAAUCCUACCGGUAAGAAUGUAGAGAAGAACGAAAAUAGAAUGGUUCUACCUACUCAAAACUAAGAGGAGAUGCAACUGCAGUCUAGACUCUUGUAGGCCAUGUCGUUGCGGAUGGCUUCCAUUUUUAAAAGAAAACCAACAAGCUUCCAAGGUUGGGGCCAUGAGUUGGCUUUCUUGAACUCCUAGUAAAGGCGAACAGCUAUUUCAAGAUUAUAUAAGCUAUAAGCAUUGAAGGCGAAGCUAACUUAAAGACAUGGGACAUCGAUUCAAUAAAACUUAAUGGAGAAAGGCAAGGAUGACGGUGACUCUGAAACUAAUCAAACCAUUUAAGGAAUUGUGAAUAUGGAGAGUAAGAAACCUUAUGAAAAGGUCUAAAUAAAUUGAAAUCAAGAUGAUGCAAUAGUUUUAAUGUUGGAAGUUUAUGAAAAUUUCGAGUAUGUAUACUUGAUGGGAGAAUUACCAAAAAAGUUCUAAACCUAUUGCAAUUGUGCUAAUUCAGUCUUAAACUUUUUUUUUAGCCAAUUUAGUCUUAAACCUUUUACAAUUGUGCCAGUUUAGUCCAUCCGGCCAAAAUUGACCGGUCAACGCUAAUGUGGAUACCGGUCAUCCGGUGAAAGUUGACAUGGCAAUUUUUUUAUUUAUUUUUUUCCAAUUUUUAAAUAUUUUUUGAAUUUUUGAAUUCUUUUUCUUUUUUUCACCUUCUCCUUCCUCUGGCCGGCCAACACUGGCCAAAGGUGAGGGCUGGCGAGGCCCCACAAGAAUUGUCAAGGCCGGCCUCGCCGUCGCUAGGCGAAGCCCCGCCAAAUCUAGCUAGGGCCGACCUUGCCGGCACUGGUGAGAUCGACCCUCGCCAGAUUUGGCGACGGUGGCCUUGCCGUCGCCUCGCCGUCGCCUCGCCGUCGCUGGGCGAGGCUUGAAGAGCCGGCCAGAGGAAGGAGAAGGUGAAAAAAAAAUGAAUUCAAAAAUUCCAAAAAUAAUUAAAAAUUCCAAAAAAAAAUAUUAAAAAAUUGCCAUGUUAGCUUUCGUUGGACGGCCAUAAUCCACGUCAACGCUGACCGGCCAAUUUUAGUCGGAUGGACUAAACUGACACAAUUGUAAAAUGUUUAGAACUGAAUUGACAAAAAAAAAAGUUUAUGACUAAAUUGACACAAUUGCAAUAAGUUUAAGCUUCUCCCUAUACUUGAUAGAACCCUCAAAAUCUUAUUAAACCAACUUAUGGGCUGGACCGCUUAUGAUCUGAAAGGCUAAUCUCACAUUAUGUUGAAACUAGGGGCUUGCCUCGAGCUAAAAUUCACGGCGACUUUACUUGAAUAGCUCAACAUGACCAAAACGCAAGUCGAUGACAUGACAGCUUAAUUUGAGCACUAACAUCAUAAACGCCCUUGCGGUGUUAUAUCUUACUCAAUUAUUCAGUUCCAGUGGAUGAAAUCGAGACCAUAAUGACUACUAUAAUGAGACCCAUCAUUUACCGAGAUUAAGUGGCAUAAAUCAAGACACGGUGACAUUUCCAUCGUGGUCGAGCUCAAGUUAACUGGAUUUAUGCUAAACUCAGUAUCCAGUUCGACCUUGAUUUAGUUGUUCAAUAAAUUGAAGCCCGACUAUUCGAUUCUGCAAUUAGCAAGUAAGUCUGCUUUGAGCUGGAGUCUAGCUCGAGUCUAACUCAAGUAAGAAUUGAGAGAUACUGCAAAAAGGAGUAUAAAAAAAUAAUGCUGUUUUUCUAUAUAUUGUAUUUAUAGUCUGAUCAUUUGUAUGCACUCAAACAUAAUUCAACAGCUCGAUUAGCUUGGCUCCAAAGCAAGAUACUCAAGUUAGGCCGGCCCAGUUAAGAACUUACUUGGACUUAGCAAAAUUCAAAGAAUCCAUCUCGUAUCUCACGAGUAGCAUGAUUAGUUUCCAUUUCUACGUGCAACUUUUUCGUUACGCAUACCUCCGAACGAUUAUGACUUGAUUAUUACCAUCUAAAAUUAGGCAUUUCGCAUGAACAAGAUGCGUACAUUGAGUUUGAUAGGGAAUGGGUGACCACUGGCUUCCCUUUUUAUUCACCGUGAAUAAUACGAGAAGAAAGCUAUACACACUCCAAUUGGAUUGGCGUCUUCCAAAGGUUACUAAAAAAUAAAAAUGGCACGCGCGCUGCCGGGAAAAUAUGAAAAUUUUUGUAAAAUACUUUUUUUUAGUGAAAUGAUUAUAAUCAAUGGUGAAAAAUAAAAAAUAAAAACAUAACUCAUGUGGCCUCACAUCGGGCGAUCUUCUUAUCAUGUAAGCCAAUACCCCACACUAAAAUUUCAAUUCUAUAUAGUACAAACUAAAAAUUUGACUUUUCCAGAAGCUUUGUGUCCUUUCAUGUUACAAGCAAUCAGGAAUUUUGUUGAAGCCGAAAUAUCGAGCUAAACUUCACCAAAGCAUGACAACAAUGAUGAGACUCAGAAAUAAAAACGCCAAUUCCAAAUCAAACGAAUUCUCACAAAUAUCAUCUGUCAAAAGCAGCAACUGAAUGUAAAUAAUCUGCACGCUGUGACUUAUUUCAGAAAGGGUUCGAGUCUAUUUCCUUGCUUUUUAUUACUGUCAAUUGGAAGAGUUCUUUAGAAAGCCCGCAGAAAAAGUGAAGCCAAAGAUUGUUUUUGCCCCAUCACUGUCAGGAAUUCAUAGUUUGAACAAGCCAAUGGGUCGAUGAUAAAUGUUGAGAAUUCUUCUAAAAAUCAGAAUUUUUAUAUCACACAAAUUAUUGAAAGAGAAUCCCAUUCCACGAAUCAAAUCACUCGAAAUGAAAAUCCGGACAGGAAUCAAUAUCAAUGGACUUGUGGCAACUCACAGACCAAAGAAAGAUGAUAAGUCUCACGAAUUGAUGUGAAUAACUAGUGAUUCAAGAAUACGGAUCCUCAAAUCCACCAUUUUUCACAAAUUUGCUUGACAUGUCAAUUUCAAUGAAGACUUGGAAAAGUAAGUCAAGCAUUCUUGUCCUAAGAGCAAAGUACUCUCCAAACUGAUUGGAAAGGGGAAGGGAAAAAGAUACCAAAAACCUUAAACUUUGCCCAGUGUGACGAAAUUACCCUAAACCUUUUUAUUUUUUGUAACACAAAAAUCCUAAACUUUGCCAAUUAUGAUACAUUUAUCCCAAAUUAUAGAACAUUUUCGUCUUUUACUUUUAAUUUUUUUCUUGUUUUUUUUUCUUUUUCUUCUUCUCUCUUACCCUCAGCUGGCCAUGACGGAGGGAAGCCAAACCCAAGCGAAUUCUCAUGAAUAUCAUCUGUCAAAAGCAACAACUGAAUGGAAAUAAUCUGCACGUUGUGACUUAUUUCAGAAAGGGUUCGAGUCUAUUUCCUUGCUUUUUAUUACUGUCAAUUGGAAGAGUUCUUUAGAAAGCCCGCAGAACAAGUGAAGCCAAAGAUUGUUUUUGCCCCAUCACCAUAAGGAAUUCAUAGUUUGAACAAGCCAAUGGGUCGAUGAGAAAUUUUGAGAAUUCUUCUAAAAAUCAGAAUUUUUAUAUCACACAAAUAAUUGAAAGAGAAUCCCAUUCCACGAAUCAAAUCACUCGAAACAAAAAUCCGGAUAGGAAUCAAUAUCAAUGGACUUGUGGCAACUCACAGACUAGAGAAAGAUGAUAAGUUUCACGAAUUGAUGUGAAUAACUAGUGAUUCAAGAAUACGGAUCCUCAAAUCCACCAUUUUCCACAAAUUUGCUUGACAUGUCAAUUUCAAUGAAGAUUUGGAAAAGUAAGUCAAGCAUGCUUGUCCUAAGAGCAAAGUAUACUCCAAACUGAUGGAAAAGGAGAAGGGAAAAAGAUUAUAGGACAUUUUCAUUUUUUACUUUUAAUUUUUUUUCUUGUUGUUUUUUUUCUUUUUCUUUUUCUUCUUCUCUCUUCCCUCAGCUGGCCAUGACGGAGGGAAGACAAACUCAAAUGUAAUUCAACAGCUCGAUUAGCUUGGCUCCAAAGCAAGAUACUCAAGCUAGGCAUUUUCAAGCAUGAACUCAGCCCAGUUAAGAACUUCUUAAUUGCACUCGGCAAAAUUCAAAGUAUCCGUCUCGUAUCUCACGAGUAGAUUGAUUAGUUUCCAUUUCUACGUGCGACUUUUUCGUUACGUAUACCUCGAAACAAUUAUGACUUGAUCAUUACUAUCUAAAAGUGGGCAUUUCGCAUGAACAAGAUGCGUACAUUGAGUUUGAUAGUGAAUGGGUGACCACUGGCUUCCCUUUUUAUCCACCGCGAAUAAUACAAGAAGAAAUUUAUACACACUCCAAUAGGAUUGGUGUCUUUCUAAGGUUACUAGAAAUGGCACACGCAUUGUCGGGAAAAAAUUAAAAUUUUUGUGAAAUACUUUUUUUUAGUGAAAAGAUUAUAAUCAGUGGUUUUAAAAUAAUAAAAAAAAACUAGUGUGGUCACAUAUCGUGCAAUUUUCUUAUAUUGUAAGUCAAUACCCCACACUAAACCUUUUUUUUUUUUUUUUAUGAUUGAGGAAUCCACCAUUGCCCGCUGGUGCCUGAUAGGCACACAAUGGACGGGCGCCUAUAACUCAGGGGAGACUAGCACAUGAUUCCAACAUCAUAGCCCCCCACUUACAAUGCGUUUAGCAAUGCAUGAAUUCGAACUUUCGACCUUGACGAUGAGGGAAGGACUCUAGUACCAAUGCAGCUGCCCACGGUUGGGUAGCAACGCAUUUAUUUCUAAACUUUUAAAUGUAUAUAGUACAAAAUAAGAAUUUAACUUCUCGAGAGGCUUGACAACAAUCACGAGACUUCAGAAAUAAAAAUGCCAAUUCCAAAUCAAACGAACUCUCAUAAUUAUCAUCUAUUAAAAGCAGCAACUGAAUAGAAAUAAUCUGCACGCUGUGACUUAUCUUGGAAAGGGUUCGAGUCUACUUCCUUGCUUUUUAUUACUAUCAAUUGGAAGAGUUCUUAAGAAAGCCCGCAGAAAAAGUGAAGCCAAAGAUUUUUUUGCCCAUCACCAUUAGGAAGUCAUAGUUUGAACAAGCCAAUGGGUCAAGAAAUUUUGAGAAUUCUUCUAAAAAUCUGAAUUUUUAUAUCACUCAAAUAAUUAAAAGAGAAUCCGAUUCCACAAAUCAAAUUAUUUGAAACGGAAAUCUGGAUAGGAAUCAUUAUCAAUGGACUUGUGGAAACUCAAAGACCAGAGCCAGAUUAUAAGACUCACGAAUUGACGUGAAAGACUAGUGGCAACUCAAGGAGACAGAUCCUCAAAUCGGCCAUUUUCCACAAAUUUGCUUUACAUGUCAAUUUCAAUGAAGACUUAGAAAAGUAAGUCAAGCAUGCCUCUCCUAAGAGCAAAGUACCCACAAAACUGAUUGAAAAAGGAAAAGAUAUAAUGUUUUAAUGAAAAACUGCUUCAAGUAUUUAUUUUGAAAUCUACCGUUGAUUUUGGUCCUCUCUCUUAGAACUAAUAUUUAUGGAAUUAUCGUUUUCAUCUCACUCUUUUUCAUAUUUUACUGUCUUGAUUUUUCCGUGAAUUAAUUUUCGAAGAACUUGUCUUAAUAGUAUGAUACAAUAACGUCUAGUCUGACAUGGAAUUAUAUAUCUUUGUCAGAUAUCAAUAGGAUAUCAGCAAAUCGAUAAACUGAUUAGGCACAAACAAACAUAAGGGGGUGAGUUUGUGAUCUAAGGAAACUUAAAAAAAUUUCAGGUGAAGAGCAUGCACUAGUGCUGUAGAGAGAAACGUGCAUAUACAAAAUAGUUAUCUUCCAUCGGUCAAAGGCGUUUAAGAUAUAGAAGAAUUGUAAACCAUAUUUAUAGUACUUUGGCCUAUCCAUUUGGAUUACUCUACUCUGCCAGCUCUAACAGUCCAAACAAAUACUGGAACCCACUAUAUAAUCCUCGAGAUGUUACUACAUCUGAAGAUACUUCCUUCUACUUGUAACUUUGCUUUUACAUUUAAUUUGUAAAACUUAUUGACAAAGUAUCUCUACAUAUCUUGUCACCAAUUCAUGUGCCUACUAGUACUCUCGGAUAUUCAAAGGUUAUAAUGUGUUAUGUUCAGGAUUCUAACACGAGGAUGAUGUUUCUGGUAGUGUGGCAUAGGAGCUCAACAACAAUGAAUUUGCGUGAUGGUUAUUGAUUGAUGACUGGGUGUGGUUCUUGUCUUUUGAGCGACCAAAAGCAAGUUGGAAGUUUGGAAACGCGGGUCGAGAGCACCUAAUAUUUAGGAAUGUAAUCUCUUCCAUCCCUUGGAUGGUUAUAACUGAUCAUACCAGGAUUUACUCGUAUUGAUCCAUCAAUCGCGCAUGGCCAUGACCAUCCAACACGUACAUCGACCAUAUGGGGAUAGAUCCAAACAUAUAAUAUCAGGUAAUAAUCAAAGUGUGCUCCUUGACGAGAAAUUACUUGAUGCAUGAACAAAUGUGAUCUUCUCUAUGUUAUGACAUUCACCAUGGUGAUUUAAUCCGGAAAUCACUAGAUGAACUACUAUAUAAGAAAGAUUAUGUUAAGUAACUGGUUAGUGCAUAUAAAUAACCUACAUGGGACCCAAUUGAAUUUCAUAAUUUUUUAAGGGAAAAGGGCCAAAAAAGUCCUAAACCUUUUGCCUUUGUACCGAUUUAGUUAUAAACCUUUUUUUGGUGCCGAUUCAGUCCUAAACAUUUUUAUGUUGUGCCAAUUCAUUCAUUUCCUGCCAAUUUUGGCCGGAUUUUGCUGACUGGACGCCGGCCGGCUGACAUGGCUUGAUCGGCGCUGACGUGGACAACUUUUAAUAAUAUUUUAAUAAUAUAUAUUUUUUAUUUACCUUUUUCCUCCAGUUGGCAAGGGUGAGGCCGACCUCGCCAGCCCUCGCCAGCCAUGGGCGAGGCUCACCCUCGUUGGAUUUUCACGAUAUCAUACACUAUCAGUGCUAUCUAUGUAUAUAGCUCGCCCUCGCCGGAUCUGGUGAGGCGAGCCUCACCCAUGGCCAACGAGGCUCGACCUCACCAGAUCCAGCCAUGGUGGAGGCUCGCCCUCGCCGGAUCUAGCGAGGUCGUGCCUCGCCGGAUCUCGCCAGUCAUGGGCGGGCUCGCCCUCGUCGGAUCGGGCGAGGCUCCUCCAUGGCCGGAUCUAGAGAGGCGAGCCUCGCCCAUGGCUGGCGAGGGCUGGAGAGGUGGCCGACGAGGUCGCCCUCGCCCUCGCCGGCCGUCGCCUCUGGCCGGUCGCCAGACCUUGGCGACCAACUGGAGAAAAAAGACAAAAAUAAAAAUAAAAAUAAAUAAAAAUAUUAAAAAUAUUAAAAUAUUAAAAUAUUAAAAUAUUAUUAAAAUUUGUCUAUGUUAGCGUCGAUCAGGCCACGUCAGCCGGCCAACAUCCAAUUAGCAAAAUCUAGCCAAAAUUGGCCGAAAAGGACUCAAUUGGCACAAUGUAAAAAGGUUUAGGACUGAAUCGGCACAAAAAAAAAAUGUUUAGGACUAAAUCGGCACAAAGGCAAAAGGUUUAUGACUUUUUUGGCACUUUAACCGAAUUCAAUUCAUACAAGGUUGAGCUGCUGCCCUUCUCUUAAGGGAGAGAAGGUACUCUAGUAACUUCUUGCAAGCAACAUGGAUGACAGAUUCACCAGAGAAAAUCUGAUCGCACCUCCCACAUAAAAAGAGAUGUGAAAAUAAAGUAGAUCUUGCUAAUAAGUGUCCUCAAUACACUUGUUAAACAUGUUUAAUGCAUAAAGAUUUGAUUUUCAAAAUAUUAAUUGCGUAUGUCACAAAAAUAGUCGAUGCGUUAUAAUUUGCAGUAUUUUGUUAUUUUGUUACUUAAUAAGUGUCCUGUGGACACUAUUUAAGUAAGAUCCAAGUAAAAUUUACUCUUGUGCAAGCGGAGCAUCAACCUAGUAUAAGAGUGGGUAAAACUUGCAUGAAGUUUAGCCAUAUAGCACACUUAUGUAUAAAACUCUUUGUAAUUUGUUUUUGAUUAUCACUCUAACAAAUCUUUCAUCCUAACGUAUCUCUAACUCUACAUCUCUAGUCUUAUGCAAAUUUUGAUAAUAAGAUCUAUUAUUGGUAUACUUUCAUAUAUUCUUAUCUAUAAUUCUCUAACAGAACUAUGCAUAUUUUUUGGUAAUAAAUGCUCUAAUAAAUUUUUUUUUUUAAAUUCUAUCCCAAAAUACCCGCAAGUUUUAUCUUUAAAGAAACUUGCUCAAAGACGAGGUUUUGAAAGAAUUUAACAGUAUAGGGAUACCUAUCUCAUAAUUGGCUCAUAUUUAACAAACAAUACACUAAAAGAUCAAACUCAUGUAAGGCUCAUAUCGGACAAUUAAAGAGUAUUAAAAUCAUAUCUGAGAAAUACUUAAAUCACUUGAUCAAUGUCGAUUUGGUCUCAUAUUUGAGAAAAUAAAUACAUUAAAAAUCAAUGAAAAAAAAUCCAUAAUCACAGGACUAUCUAUCUCAUUGUUGACUUACAUUUUAGAGCAAUCUAUUUGAAAGUUCAAUCUCAUAUUGGCUUCAUAUUUGACAAAAAAAUAAUAUUAAAAUCAUAUUUAGAGUAACAUUACAUGAUCAAUAACAAUUAUGGCAAAUAAAUAAUAUUAAAACGACCCGGGCCUUUACAUAUUGUAUUUAUAUUUACGCACUUCGGCCUGCAGCAUUUCUUGUUUCUUAAUCAAUCUAGAUUCAUGUAUUUUAAAUCCCAUUGCUCGCAUGAUUUUUCUUGCCGUCAACUCCAAGAACCUUCAAAAUUGAGCGAGUGGCUCAUUCUAGAUUUCAUUUGCAGAACCCAAGCUCAAUCCCUUGCCUUGACUCGGUCGUCAAUUGUCUGAGAAGAAUCAAAGCGGAUGAGUCCAAAGUCGAUUAAUGUUCCAUUUGUACGUGAAGCUUUGCAGGUCCUAGUCUGUUGAUGUGUUCAGUAUAGACUAUUCAAACUCUUGCGGAGUGUUAUAAAAGUAAUAAUAUUGCUAACAUGAUAACCUUUGUACAAAAUGCUGACAUGAAAAGAUAAGAGACGAGAGAACGAGACUCAUUAGCUUCCUGGUCCCAGCCAUGUCCUUCCCACGAAUAGUAUGUCAGCUAAUAAUAAUGCAUAGCACAUGUCUUUUCUCGAUAACAUGAUCAUUUUCUAUACUCCGACGAUUUAAUGGUAAUGCAAAUUGACAGAAAAACAAGACAAGAGAUAAUUUCUGAAUUACACAGAGAAAGAUUUAUGAUGUCUUAUGCUAAUAGAAAUUGAUGUGAAUUACAAACACUAACACAAAUUGUCAAGCUUAGGUGAAAAUUUAAAUUAAAGAUUUUGUCAAUAUGUCUUUUAGAAAGGAUUUUCUUGAGGGAAACAAAACUUUACAUACGAAAUGAUGGACCGCACAACCCAUUAAAGCGGGUUGCGGUAAAAGAGGAUAGAGGCUGUGUGGUUAAGAUGAAUUCUGGACAAACGACAAGCACUCCAUAUUUAACUGUUCCAAAACAACAGCAAUAUGUGCAUUGUUUGUGACUGAGGCUCCAUCUAAUAAUGAUUAGCCAUCUAUAAAGUUGAUCUUUUUUUCCACAAAUUUACUUGACUAACUAGGUCAAUUUUAAUGAAGACUUGGAAAAGUAGGUGGAGCAUGGAUAUUGAAAAAUGAUCAAGAUCGUGCGUGUGUGUGUGUGUGUGUGNNNNNNNNNNNNNNNNNNNNNNNNNNNNNNNNNNNNNNNNNNNNNNNNNNNNNNNNNNNNNNNNNNNNNNNNNNNNNNNNNNNNNNNNNNNNNNNNNNNNAGGCCCAAUUUGCCCCUUCAUUUGAUGGCGCCUGAAGCCUAUAAGUGGAGUAACUUUUUGCAAGCAACAUGGACGACAGAUUCACUAGAGAAAAUCUUACUGCGUUCCCUACUUAAAAAGAUGAUGUGAAAAUAAAAUGAAUCUUGCUAACAAGUGUCCUAGAGAAACUUGUUAAACAUGCUUAAUGCAGAAAGAUUCGAUUUUCAUAAUAUUAAUUGUGUAUGUCACGAGCUGCAUUAUAAUUUGCGAUAUUUUGUUAUUUUGUUACUUAACAAAUGCCGUGCAAACAUUCUUCAAAUAAAAUCCUAGUAAAAUUUAUUCUUGUACAAACGGAGCAUCAAUGUAGUAAAAGGUGCGUAAAAGUCCCGAGAAGUUGAGCCACAUAGCAUGCUUACGCACGAAACUCUUGGUAAUUUGUUUUUGAUUAUCACUUUAGCAGAUCUUUAAUCCUAACAUAUCUCUAACUCUACAUCUCUAGUCUUAUGCAAAUUUUGAUUAAAAAAUCUAUUUUUGGUAUACUUUCAUUAUUUUUUAUUCAUAAUUCUCUAAGAAAGCUAUGCAUAUUUUUGGUAAUAAAUGCUUUAAAAAUAUUAUAUAUAUAGAUAUAUAUAUAUAUAUAUAUAGAUAGAUAGAUUUUAUCUCGAAAUAUCAGCAAUUUCUAUCUUUAUAUAAACUUUUUUAUUUAUUUGGUGAGGUAUCUUUAUAUAAACUUGUUCAAGACGAGGUUUUGAAAGAAUUUAACAGUAUAAGGAUACCUAUCUUGUGAUCGGCUCAUAUUUAACAAAUUAUAUAUUAAAAGACAAUGGGCUCUUAUUUGACAAUUAAAGAAUAUUAAAAUCAUGUCAGAAAAAUAAUUAUAUAUAUGAUCAAUCUCAAAUUGGUCUCAUAUUUGACAAAUAAAUAUAUUAGAAAAUCAAUGAAAAAAUCCAUCAUCGCAGGACUAUCUAUCUCAUUGUUGACUCACAUUUUAGAGUAAUCUAUUUGAAAGAUCAAUCUCAUUUUGGCUUCAUAUUUGACAAAUAAAUAAUAUUAAAAUCAUAUUUAUAGUAAUAUUACAUGAUCAAUAACAUAUUGAACUAAUAUUUGGCAAAUAAACAAUAUUAAACGACCGGGUCAUAUUGUAUUUAUAUUUACGCACUUCGUCCACCAGCAUUUUAUGUUUCUUAGUCAACCUAUAUUCAUGUAUUUUAAAUCCAAUUGCUCGCAUGAUUUUCUUGCCAUCAACUUCAACAACCUCGAAAUUGAGCGAGCGACUUAUUCUAGAUUUCGUUUGCAGAACCCGAGAUCAACCCCGUGCCUUUACUUAGUCGUCAACCAUCCACAAACAACCAAAGCGGAUGAGUCCAAAGGCGAUUAAUGUUCCAUUUGUAAGUUAAGGUUUGCGGGUCCUAGUCUGUCGAUGUGUUCAGUGUAGACUAUUCAAAGUCUUUGUGGAGAUAAUGCCGGUCUUCCGAGCAAAAUGAGAUAAAAGGAAUACUAUUGCUAACAUGUUAAUCUCCGUACAAAAUGCUGACAUGAAAAGAUAAGAAACGAGAGAACGAGACUUAUUAGCUUCUUGGUCCCCACCAUGAUAACAUCCCUUCCAACAAAUAGUUUGUCAGCUAAUAAUAAUGCAUAACACAAGUCUUUUCUUGAUAACAUGAUCAUUUUCUAUGCUCCAACGAUUUCAUGGUAACGUGAAUGUUGACAGAAGAAUGAGACGAGAGAUAAUUUCGGAAUUACAAAUUGUCAUGCUUAGAUGAAAAUUUAAAUCAAAGAUUUUGUCAAUAAAUUUUUUAGAAAGGAUUUUCAUGAGGGAAACAAAAAUUUACAUACGAAAUGGUGGAUCGCGCAACCCAUAAGAGCAGGUUGCGUUUAAAAAGGGUAGAGGCUGUGUGGUUUAGAUGAAUUCUGGACAUACAUGACAAGCACUCCAUGUUUAACUGUUUCAAAACGACAGCGAUAUAUGCAUUGUCCAUGAUUGAGGCCCCGUCUAAUAAUGAUUAGCCAUCUAUAAAUAUCUUAUCAAUCUUGUUGUUGAGAACAUGCGAACCUGGACAAUCUCACAUCGUCAAAACCACCCCAAAAUCAUGGCCUCGUCCUUAUUUCUGUGGAAGCCGUCUUCUUUAGGGGUCUUCUUCUUAUUCUACCCGCUCUUCUUCGUAAACAUCACCUUCUUUGUUUCAACUCCAUUUCAUGGCAUAGUCGUUUUUGCUUCCUCCAUUUCUUUCGCUUCCAGUAUGACCAACCAUACGGAUGAAGCAGGGACUCUCCUGAAAUGGAAAUCUAGUCUCAAAGACCACAACCAAUCUCUCUUGUCUUCAUGGCAUGGUAACAACUCUUGCCACUUCAUGGGUGUCACUUGCGAUGACUACGGAUUCAUUGCCCAUCUUAAUCUUUCUAAUCUCGGCCUGAGAGGAACUUUAAAUAGUCUCGACUUCUCGCACUUAACCAAGGUGGUCAGUCUUGACUUUUCCAGCAACUCGAUCUACGGUGCUAUGACCUCAAGUAUUGGUAACCUUUCCAAACUCAAGUAUCUUUAUUUUCAUGACAAUAGAUUGAGUGGACACAUUCCUUGGGAGAUUGGAUUGUUAGAUUCUCUUUCCGAAGUUUAUUUUGACAAAAACAAUCUCAGAGGUCCUAUCCCUGCUUCACUUGGAAAAUUAGGCAACUUAACAAAAUUGGGCAUAUCACAAAAUGACCUUUCUGGUCCCAUUCCAAGAGAGAUAGGUGACCUAAGAAGAUUGAAGUUUCUUUACUUAUGGAGGAACCAACUUUCGGGAUCCAUACCUGCAGAGAUUGGGAGUCUAACCGAUCUUAUUGAAUUACAUUUUUAUGAUAAUAAGUUGGUCGGGCGUAUCCCUGCUUCACUAGGAAACCUAAGUAGUCUAAAUGUUCUCUAUCUUUUCGGAAACCAAUUUUCAGGGUCCAUUCCUCCUUCUCUUGGAAAAUUAGGCAACUUAAGAAAUUUGAGCAUAUCAGAGAAUGACCUUUCUGGUCCCAUUCCAAGAGAGAUAGGUGACCUAAGAAGAUUGAAGUUUCUUAACUUAUGGAGGAAUCAACUUUCGGGAUCCAUACCUGUAGAGAUUGGGAGGCUAACCGAUCUUAUUGAAUUAGCAUUUUCUAAUAAUAAGUUGGUUGGGAGUAUCCCCGCUUCGCUAGGAAACCUAAGCGGUCUAAAUGCUCUCUAUCUUUACAGUAACCAACUUUCGGGAUCCAUACCUGCAGAGAUUGGGAGUCUAACCGAUCUUAUUGAAUUACAUUUUUAUGAUAAUAAGUUGGUCGGGUGUAUCCCUGCUUCACUAGGAAACCUAAGCAAUCUAAAUGUCCUCUAUCUUUACAAAAACCAACUUUCGGGAUCCAUACCUGCAGAGAUUGGGAGGCUAACCGAUCUUAUUGACCUAGAAUUUUCUGAUAAUAAGUUGGUCGGGCGUAUCCCUGCUUCACUAGGAAACCUAAGUAGUCUAAAUGUUCUCUAUCUUUUCGGAAACCAAUUUUCAGGGUCCAUUCCUCCUUCUCUUGGAAAAUUAGGCAACUUAAUAAAUUUGAGCCUAGCAAAGAAUGACCUUUCUGGUCCCAUUCCAAGAGAGAUAGGUGACCUAAGAAGAUUGAAGUUUCUUUACUUAUUGACGAACCAACUUUCGGGAUCCAUACCUGCAGAGAUUGGGAGGCUAACCGAUCUUAUUGACCUAGAUUUUUCUGAUAAUAAGUUGGUCGGGCGUAUCCCUGCUUCACUAGGAAAUCUAAGCAGUCUACAUGUCCUCUAUCUUUACAAAAACCAACUUUCGGGAUCCAUACCUGCAGAGAUUGAGAGGCUAACCGAUCUUAUUGACUUAGCAUUUUCUGAUAAUAAGUUGGUCGGGCGUAUCCCUGCUUCACUAGGAAACCUAAGCAGUCUAAAUGUCCUCUAUCUUUACCAAAACCAACUUUCGGGAUCCAUACCUUCAGCGAUUGGGAGGCUAACCAAUCUUAUUGAAUUAGAUUUUGCUGAUAAUACUUUGAGUGGUUCAAUCCCUGCAUCAAUUGGAAGCAUGGUCAAUUUAACUAUGUUACGCCUUAGAGAUAACAACUUUCUCGGUAUCUUGCCUCCCGAAAUUAACAAGAUCAUUCAUUUGAGUGUUUUGGAUCUCUCCAAUAAUGAACUCGAAGGGCAACUGCCGGAAAAUAUAUGCCUGGGGGGAUUAUUGCAAAAUGUCACUGUGCAUAAUAAUCAUUUCACAGGUCAUAUCCCUAAAAGCUUGAGGAAUUGUACUUCAUUAUAUAGAGUGAGGCUUGAAGGAAAUAAACUUACUGGAAAUGUAACAGAAGCUUUUGGAGUAUAUCCGCAACUGAAUUUUAUGGACUUGAGCUACAAUUAUUUGCAUGGCGAACUUUCAUGGAAAUGGGGGCACUGCCACAAUUUGACCCGCUUAAGGAUAUCGAACAAUAAAAUUUCCAGUGAGAUACCCUCGAUAUUCGGAAGGAUGGCUCAAUUACAGUUUCUUGACCUUUCUGCAAAUAAUUUAAGUGGAAAGAUUCCAAGGGAGUUGGGAAGCUUGCAACUACUAUUAGAUCUUAUCCUUAACAACAAUGGGAUCACAGGUGAUAUUCCUCAUCAAAUUGGAUUUUUAUCUCGACUAGAAUAUCUCAACCUAGGAUCAAACAAUUUGAGCGGAGCCAUUCCACCGCAGCUCAGCCUAUGCACCAACUUGCUGAGCUUGAACUUGAGCCAAAAUAAAAUUGAGAGAAGCAUUCCUUUCGAGAUAGGCAAUGCGCGAUUCCUAAGGGUUCUUGAUUUGAGUCAAAAUCUAUUGAUGGGAAGAAUACCACCAAAUCUAGGAAAAUUGAGAGUCCUAGAAACCCUAAACAUCUCCCACAAUGGUCUCUCUGGUUCCAUCCCAUAUAGUUUUGCUGACUUAUGGGCAUUAAUUUCCGUUGAUGUGUCCUACAAUGACUUGGAAGGUCCUCUCCCAAAUGUCAAAGCUUUUAAGGAGGCUCCAUUUGAGGCAGUUCAGCAUAACAAGGGGUUGUGUGGGAACAAGGCUGGAUUACAGAAAUGCAAUAGUUCUACCAUGAACAAGAAACACAAUCAACACGGUGGGGCUAGAAUUUUUAUUAUCCCCGUUCUCUCUUCCUUCUUGAUCGUCCUCAUAAUCUUUAAUUGCCAUCGGAGAAAGAUUAUCAAGAGAGAGAGGAAUGUAUUGACAGAGACUAAUGAUUUAGAUUUCAUGCACAUUCUGAGUUUUGAUGGCAAAAUUUUCUAUGAGCGAAUCAUGGAGGCGACAGAAGGAUUUGACUCCAAGUAUUAUUUGGGAGAAGGGGCGUAUGGCGUUGUUUACAAAGCUGAUCUACCCGCAGGUCAAACUGUUGCAGUCAAAAAAAUUACAUCGUCCCAGGAAGAUGAGACCGUCAACAUCAUUCCUUUUGAAAGGGAAAUUGAAGCCUUACAAACUAUUCGCCACCGCAACAUCGUGAAAUUUUAUGGGUUCUGCUCUCAUGCACACCAUCGUUUUCUGGUAUACGAGUACAUCGAAAGAGGGAGCUUGAGAACAAUUUUGAAUGAUGAUGAUAGAGCAUCAAAGCUUGGCUGGGACAAAAGGAUAAACAUGGUUCGAGCAAUUGCGGAUGCGUUGUCGUAUAUGCAUCACAACUGUUUUCCUCCAUUGAUCCAUCGGGACUUGACCAGCAACAACAUCUUGUUGGAUGCUGAUUUCGAGGCUCAUGUUUCAGACUUUGGCACCGCAAGAUUAUUGAGGCCAGAUUCCACCAACUGGACUGCAACUGCCGGCACCAUUGGAUACAUCGCUCCAGGUGAUGUUCUUUGUAGAGGCAUAUUAAUUUACUGUCCCAACUCGUGCUGUCAUUGGAAAUUCCUUAAUUAUGUGAAAGCAAAUGUCUGAGUCUUUAAUUACAACCCAGUAAGAUUAUCAACGGACUUUGAAUUCUUCAAUCGCAGAGCUAGCUUAUACCAACAUUCCGACCAAAAAAUGUGAUGUAUAUAGCUUUGGAGUUAUAGUACUGGAGAUAAUCAUGGGAAAGCAUCCAGGAGAUUAUGUCUCGUUGGUAUUUUCAUCCACUCAAUCCGAGUCGCAAACCCCAUUGAAGGAUGUGCUGGACCAACGCCUCUUGCCUCCAACAAAUCAGCAUGUGCAAAACGUAAUCUCUAUUGCAGCACUAGCACUCGCUUGCUUGCGGACCAAUCCUCAACGUCGACCGACCAUGACACAAGUUUUGCAAGAGCUUCGAGUUCAAGCACCACCGGUUUUGCCGUUCUUUGGAGUCACCUUAGAACAACUCCGUGAUCUCGAUGGCAGGAACUUUUAGAUCGCAUUCGGGAGGUUGCAAGUUUCCGAUCGAGCUACUGUCGUGUGUUCACCUUUUCUGGCUUCUGUGUUUGGCAGUAAGAUGUCGAUUACUUAGUUAUAAAACUUGGAAGAUGCAUAGUCUAAAUGUUUUCUUUUUGUAAGAGUAGAAUAAUAGUUAAUUUUCCUCCUUUCGUGUAAGCAAGCAUCUAUCCAA
Molecule: long non-coding RNA, 82569 nt
Filed under: Eucalyptus grandis
Lineage: Eukaryota; Viridiplantae; Streptophyta; Magnoliopsida; Myrtales; Myrtaceae
Description: long non-coding RNA (EGRA_LNC006504)
Source: RNAcentral